RNAcentral lists this long non-coding RNA (46306 nucleotides) under Coffea arabica (coffee). RNAcentral describes it as "long non-coding RNA (CARA_LNC003860)". The record is from RNAcentral. Lineage: Eukaryota; Viridiplantae; Streptophyta; Magnoliopsida; Gentianales; Rubiaceae.
UUUUUUUUUCACAGCUUGUAAAUACAAUGUCAGCACUUCCACAAUGUUGAGCUCUUCAAUUUCUUAAGUAGACAAACAACCAUUGCUCAAGCUCCAGGAAAUUGAUUUGUCGAGAGUAUAAAUAAUCAUGAAAUUUAUAACGUGACACCUCAUUAAAAUGCAGGAUAGAUUUGACUGUUACUUAUGGUUUCAAUUCUGUCAUUGAUAUUUUUGAUGUCAUGCAAUAAUCUCGCUUUGAGAACACUGUAACUUACUUUGCUAUGGAUCGUAUGGUACUUCAUUUACUGAUUGGUCCAUGUCAUUAGCUUCCAGACGCCACACCAGAUCAAAUCAAGAAAGCUUAUUAUAAUUGCAUGAAGGCUUGCCAUCCAGACUUGAGUGGUGAUGCUCCAGAAACAACUAACUUUUGCAUGUUCAUCAAUGAGGUUUAUUCGGUAGGUUCCAAUUAUAGAAUGCUGAAGUAUUGAGUCAGCUUUUGAUUUAUGUUUGUAGUGUCUGAUGAAAAUAUUCUUGGAGUCUAGGUUCUCAGUGACCCGCUGCAGCGAAUGAUUUAUGAUGAAAUUCAUGGAUAUGCUUUGACUGCAAUAAAUCCUUUCUUGGAUGAUUCCGCUCCAAAGGAUCAUGUAUUUGUCGACGAGUUCAGUUGCAUAGGUGCAUUGUUUUCACUCUCGUUUUACCAUUUUAACUGUGAAGUGCCAUUUUAACUUCAGCCCAGGAGUAGCUCAACAAUCAAGCAUCCAGUUACAUUUCUGCAGUCAUGAGAUCAUCGCCCUUCAAAUUUUUGCCCUCCCCUGAGAUUAUUCCCCUCCAAAUUUUUGCCCUCCCCUUGCUACACCAUGCAAAAAUGAAAUUCCUCUUAAUUUAGGAUUGGCAUUCAGAAUAUUCAUCGUUUAAGCUUCUGAGAAAGUAUCUUCAGAAAUUGAGUUGACCUUGUUGAUUAAUCUUGUGCUGUUAUGAGAAGUUUUACAACACUGUCAUCCCAUUGACAAGAAUUUGGCUUUAAAUCAAAUUUUCACUAGUGCAGAUAGUUGCAUACCCAUAUCCAGCGAUAAUAGACGUAAACAUAAAAAUUUGAGACUAGUUUCUGACCUCUCUGAAGUCAGGGAACUAUUUGAUACUGCUUUGAUGUUGUCAUAGGAACAUUUUCUGGCAAUUCAAUCAGAGAAACUCCUUUAGGUGUAAUUGAAGGGUUAAUGUCAUAUUGGAUAUUGUGCUAGUCCCCAACAUAUAGGAAAGGUUAUGGGUUGUUAGUUGUUACUUCUACAUUCUGUGAUUUGCCACUAACAACAUCUUCUCUUCCUCUCCCUUAACAGGCUGUAAAAAUUGUACAAAUGUUUGCAAAGCUGUAUUCACCAUUGAGGAAGACUUUGGUAGAGCCAGAGCGUAUACUCAGUCUGGAAACCCUGAUUUAAUUCAGCAAGCUAUUGAUAGUUGGUAUGAUUUUGCCAUAAUGAUUUUGCUGUGCUAUAAAUAUCACUGGAACACAGGAACAUGAGCAUAUGUAAAGAAAUAGAAUUAAACAUGGUAAUUUAUAUUGGUUGGGUUCCCGGAGGCUUGUGAUUUUCCUUUUCUUGGGAUUUUCAAAAUCCUUUAUACCUUGAAACUAGCCUUCUUCAAGUAUUUCCUAUGAAUAACCUGCCUUAAACUAGUUUUACAGUAAAAGCACAGGAUCAGAAGACUUCCAAGUCACUUAUUUAUCCUAAUAAGAAUGCAAUUUUACUUUAUGAGUAAAAUGCAACUGCAAAUACUUGAAAAAGUUAACUUUGACCUAACAAUCUUGCAUAAUGAAUAAUAAAACUCAACAAUCACCAGAACCUGAAACAACUAAGAGUUAAAAGAUGGAUUAAUGAAACUUUGAUAGGGAAUCAAGAGAAAAGUAUGUGAUAAGUGUGUUGUGCAGCCAUGACAAUGGUAAGUUGACUCAGUAAUUCCGAAAAGUUGAAGGUAUUAAACUUGAGAUAUCUACUUAUGGAUAACACGAUAACCUCAACUUGAUUUAGUCUGAUUUGAAAUCAGGAUAUGGUUGAAAGGUUUUCAAUUGAAUAUCAUAGAAUAUCAUAUAAGAGGUUACCGAAUGAUAUCAACUGGACCUUAGGCUGGCUAGGAAUUGGAUACUCCCCAAGAAUCUAUUUCACUUUUAAGUGGUUCACUAUUAUAUUUGGUUUCUGAUAAAGCUCAAAUUAGAAUACAGUCCUUUAAGUGUCUCCUACUUGUCUUGUUUAGGUUUUGGUUGUCAAAAUGAAUCUGUUUUAUGCAUCUAAUAUAACAAAUGCUGCUUCAUUUCAGCCCUGUUGACUGCAUUCACUGGACUUCCGCUCAGCAGCUGUCUUUGCUUGAAGAUGAAAUGCGAAGGGUAGACAGAGUAAAUGUGAGCUAUAUUCUCCUUGGACUCUUUCUGUAUUUCUGUCCUAACUUUAGGACUAGAUUUUGCAGUAUAUGGCUUCAAAAUAUUCUCUAGCUCAUUAUUGUGGUUGAAUACUUGCUAAACAAGGAGACAGACAUGGUUUAAAAACUUCUUUUAUUAGCUUUGAAUGGAAAAGAUCUGUUCAUUAUUAGCCUGCUCAAUUAUCAAGCUAUUUCAAGCCUUGUGGAGCAGCAGUAAUUAUUACUAUUGGAUGCAUUCUUGGGAGAAGGCUGGAGGAGAAACCGAUAAGAUUUUUGAUGCAUAGAUGCAUCUCUCAAUGGCCUGAGAGGAGUUCUUUAGAAUCAAACUUGUUGAUACCUAUUUCUUUUCAUGCUUUUUAAGGAGUUCUAGUUUAGUGAUAAAUUAUGCAUCUACAUUGUCGUUGUUGAGAAAAAUUAGUUCAUCUCUCUAUCAUUCAGAACUAGUAUUGUGACAAAAGUGCCUAAUUUUGGGCAUUUCAAUAUGAGAGAUGCUUUGGUUUAGUCUUCAUCUUCAGGUGACCUGACCACCAAAAAGUGUCUUACUUUUUCCCUUUUCUUAUUGAUCAUUAGGUAGCAUUCAUGCUUUCAGGAAUGGGCUCUGCAGGUGUAGAUGUUUUCAGAAUGGUAAGACAUUUUCUAAUCUACCAUACAUUGAGUUAUCUCCAAAAUGCUCAGACUGCCUGUGAGAAUCACUUAGUUGGAUUAUUUGACAAAGAUGAGCGGAGGUAAGGAGAAGUAAUAGUGAUCCUGUUAUAAAGACUAAAAUAGAAUUCAUCAGGAAAAAAUUGGGAUUCAAGAAAUGUGACUGCUGACAGCCUAAAGAUUCGGUUGCAGUUUUCUCUAUAAAGAAAAUUGUCUUGAAGUUCAAAGCUGAUAGAAACUAGAGUAAAUGGCACAUUUAGAUGAUUGAACCUCAAAUCUAAGUCGUGUUUUACAUAUAGAUAUAGUUUUCCAUUAUCACUAGAUAAAUAUUGACAUGAAAUCUAAGGUUCUCCAUGGCACAAAUGUACGCAUUUGUCAAGUAUCCAAAGAACUUUCAGAAUUUUAUCUGAUUUUUGAACAUUUUUCUGACUGCUGUUGGUCAUUUGCAUCUAAUUGAUUUCACUCAAUUGACAGGCAAGUUCUACAUGGGAAAAGAGACAAACCAAGAUCUUGGUAAAUACUUACGUAGAAGUAGGGAUAAAAUUAUCUUUCAAAUUUAGUUAAUUUCCAAUUUUCCGCUUCUAUCUUACAAUGCAACCUCAUUAAUUUGUUGUAGGAAGAAGUAAAAAGGAGGAUGAUGAAACAGAAAGAAUCUGAUAAAUAUGAAGCAUUUUGGAACAAUCUCUGGGGCAAACCAAAGGGCUACAGAAAUUCAGGUAAGGAGGAUCAAGUUGUUCAAAACACAUUGGGUUUACCCAUUUUGGCAAGAUUUCAAUUUGGUAGCCUUCUUUCUUUGAAUCAGCUGUAGCCAAUUAGGAUCAUCGAAUCAGAUUGUCUUCUCUCAGACUGCUCCAAUGUUUAUCACUAAACGAUCCACUUUUGAAGUGGAGCUUGAUUUAAUUAUUUAUAAGCUUAUCAAAGCAGCAAACUCGUACCUCUUGAACAUGUAUAAAAUUUGGAAAGGUAAAUUGGACAUGUUCUUUCUGUAGCCUAUAGAUGUUUCAGUGUCUGCAUCCUACAUAAACAUUGUACAACCUUCCAGGAAAAAAGAAAUCACUACCUGAAUAUUCAGUUGAAGUUUAUGCUAAGACUAAUAAGAUGACUAGAAUUUGUAUGAUGCCACAGAGGAAGAAGUUAAAGAGAGAGCAAGUAGAGCUGCGGCGGCUGCUCGAAGAUGGAGGGAAUACUCAAGAAGGGGUGUUGAUAAACCACCCACCAUUAAACUUCCAGAAACAAUCUCUAACACUGAAAAUUAAGCUGUAAUUUUGAUAGCUUUCACUUUCACGAUUCUAUGUAAUUAUUGAUUCUAAAUUCCAUCUGUUGGACGCAUAUGCAACUCAUAGUAGAUACCGUGCAUAUAGUAAACUUGAUAUUGGCUCGUUCAACUGUCUUAUAGAUAAUCAAUAAAGCAUUAUUCUUGCACAUUUUGUGCGCUACAUGUCGUCGCUGUCUGCUCAUGAUCAUCCAACAAAAUAUGUGGGUUUUCCUUUGAAAUUCAUGUUUUCUGCAGUGAAAGUACAAAAAAUUACCAGAAGAGAUCUAUUUGCUUCAUAAGUUUCAUCUGAAUGCUUCCAAAACUUGUGGAGGCAACUCCUAUUCUCAUGUACUACUUUAACAGACUCACAUCAACUUGGGUGUGGAGUAAUUCUUUCUUUUGUGUUUGUUAUGGGAAGAUGGUACUUGACUUGUUCAUGAUUUCAGAGACUCUUUUAUUAUUGCAUGUGUGAAGGGGCACCGUCUCUGAAGGAAUGGGUUACUACUGUCCAAUGAGUGGGCCUCGACUGGUUAACUGAUUCUUUUCAAGUUAGUUUAUUUCAACAUGGCAACAUUGGUUAGAAGCUGCGGAAUAUACUACAAGAAUAUUGUCUAUAAGGAAGGCAAAAGGAUUCAAGCCCUUUGUUUUUCUGGUUUUUCCAGUCCUGCCUCGAUAUAGUAUAUUGUCUCCUGUAAAAGCCUUUGAGGCUAGUAUGGACUUAUCAUCAGUUUUUGAAGACCUUCAAGAACGGGAUAAUAUGAGUGUCAUAUCUUCUAUGGGUUAUGUGUGCUUAAAAACAAAGCGAAUGAAUUAGGUCUCACAACAAGGCAGUUCCCAGCUGGAACUGGCUUAAUCUCUGGUAAUUUAAUAUCUACCUGUCGUAAUCACGAACACCUACCUCGUUGUAAAUAUAGAGCUUUUUGUAUGGCGUUGCUUUUGCAUUUUAUCUCAUUUUUGGUGACGUUUUCUUCUGCUCAGCUUCAAAAACGUCAUACUAGUAAUGUGGACAUCCAUCAAUGAUUACUUCUCUUGUUUUUAAGAUGAAACUGAUCAAGGACUCAUUGUCCAGUGUAGCAGAGUGUAAAAAUGUACAGUCAAAAGAAGAAAAUUUCUUGCAGGUUUCCUCUGGUGCCUGUUUAUUUUGUUUCUUGUUUAGCAUUUGGCUAGGCAUCCCACUUCGAAAACUUGUCAAAUUAUAGUAGACUCUUAUAUUGGUUGCAGCACUAGACAAUCAUUGUUAAGCUCACUGUUAAUUCUGCACAGUGCAUGCUGAGAUGUGCUAUGUAGUGGACAAAGAUGUGUAAAGGAUUCAUUUCAGCACUUUAUUAUGACGCAAGAACAUUGUCUUUUUGCUAUUUUCUAAGGCCGUCUUUGAGGAAGUCAGAGUAGGAUUGGCAUCAAGGGCUUACUUUUUUAUCAUCUCCUUAUUUACAAUUACAGUUUCUCCAGGUUGGCGCAUGGAAGCUGAAGUGAAACUAGAAACAGGAAAAAAACCAAUGGACAAGAGCAAAUGUAAGUGGAAAAAGAUCCAAAGAAACAUGUCUUAUCUAACAGUUGAUGCAACAGUCUGUGCCCAAGCUUUAAGUUGGUCUUUCAUGUUGAUUUCAUUGUCCACAUCAGGAAAUCUCCAGCGUACUGGUAGUUUAUUUACCUUCCUCUGAUUCAGAACACCCCAUGCUUCAGAAAGAUAAGGCCUUGACACUGCAUACUUGUCGUGGACUAGUUCAUUGCUGCCUUGCUUUCCCCAUCUCUGCAAUCCCGGUAUGAUUGAAGCCAAACUUGAGCUCUUAUCUUCCUCUGUGAACACAAAUCCCAAGUCCAUGAACCCUUUAAGCUCCUCAUACUCCAAUUCUGAUAAGCUUCUGCUAAUACCUCUACUCCUCCUCCUCCUGUUACUGAAUUUUUUCGUGGUUGUGGUUUCAAUCUUUUCUUGCUCUUCAAUCCUUUCAGAGAAAUCACUCACUUCUACUCCAGAGAGUAUCUUUGGCAGUGUUGGUGUGGAAAUCGCUGACUUGGGAGAUGCAGCAUUUGGGCUGAAACCUGUAUCAUAGCUGACACAGUGAUCACUUAGAGAACGAACUUGAAGGUUUACUAUGCUCGCAAGCUUUGAUUUUUCAAGCUCAUGUUCUUCUUGAUCAUGAAUAGGCUUGCUAGUUGAAGAUGCUAAGCAAUGCUUGCUAGUAAAUAUUCCAUGUUCAAACCAAUAAGAAUCAAAGAGCUUCAGAAUUUCUUCAGCGGCCAUAGUGAUCUCUUCUGUGGAUAAAAUGCCAAAAACACUGGGAGACAGAGGAAACUUCUUAGUAUUUCUUCCCAAGCUUUGAAGUAUAUAGCUACAAUAGCAGCAUAUUGCUCAAUUAUUUGUGGACUAUUAUUAGAAUCUCAUGAGUGGUUAAUAAUAAAGUAAGCCCUCGUUUGUCUCAUCUAACAUAUAAUAUAAUAGCAAAGGUAUGCUCCUGACUUCUUCCAAUUAUUGCAGUGUUAGUUGGGAUGUGAAGUCAUUGGAAUGUGCUAGAAUUAAUGCUAAUUAAACCUAGCUUAUCGUUUGACUGUGAUUAGUUUGAUAAGAUUUGUACUGAGAUCAAAUUUUCAAUAAGCUUGAGGCUGAAAUGGAUUGCCCUUUUUGUCCACUAAGAAAUGUAGUUUAGCUCCAAUUGUUUCAUAAGCAUUUCUCCUUAUCUACCUUAAACAAGUUCUGCACCAGAUCAAAUUCCCUCGUGGGGAAGGGAUGACUUUUAAAUUUGAUCCAAACACCACCCCCCCCCCCCUCCAAAAAAAAAAGAAAGGAAUUAUAUGUCCUUAUCACAUUUUGAUCAUUAUCUCAUGAUGCGAUCCACUUUCUUGUACUAGGUGUGGCAACGAGUUAAUCAAGCCUGAAGCCUCGAACUUGAACUUGAAGAUAUUUAUUUGAACUGGAACUCAGUCUUGCUCGUUAUCAAUUCGAUUAAAUUGUUUGAUCUUGCUCGAGAAAGCAAAAUAAGCUCAAAUCGAGCUCAAACUCAACUUAAGCUUGAGCUUUCUAGUAUUGCCAUUGCUAUUAAAAAAAAAAAUAAAAGUAUACUAAACCAAAACAUUACAUUUUUCGCCAGUCCAGUACUAGAUCAUAAUCAAACUACUCAAUUCUUUGGAUGGUGGGGAGGCAUUAUUUUCUUCUUUUGUUUGAAAAUUUUAGUGGUGUCAAUUAGUGCCCAAAUCCUGCAAAACUUUAUAAUUAUUGUAGUGCAUGAACUUGACCAAGAAGAUUUAGUGGUAGUAGGUGACAAAACUCAAAAUCAAACAAUAAAUGCAUACUAGUCGACUAAUGCAAUUCAUGUGGUCUAUGUAUUGCCAAGAAUAAGAAGUCUAGGCACUAACAAGUCUUUUGCCUUGGGGGCCCGGGGAACGGAGAGGGAAGGUGGAGGUGGAGGUGGAGGUGGUGGCAUUGGAGUCUCUCUUGAAUCAAAACAAAUUUGGAUAGUAAAUUAUUUACGUAAAUUUAUCUGCUCGCAUCAAUAACAUAUAUUUUAAUCACAUUUUUAUUUUAUAUAUGUAUCACAUCAAGGCGUUAUGGUAUUUCUUUUUCAAAAAAUUAUUUCAAAUAAUCUCUUAUCCUAACACACCUACGUUAUAUGUUAAUUAGCUUUUUAAGAGCAAUAGUUAAUGUUACUUUAACUACUAGAACACUCAAAAUACUUCAAAAAAAUAAAUAAAUAAAUGAAGGACUUGUUUGUAUACACUUGAAAAUAAUAUCAAUCAAAGGAGUCUAUGACUGUUUGGUAGUUUGUCACCAUUAUUCCCCAUUGGAGGCCAGGCUAGGCUCCCAUAAUUUGUAUUAUCAGAUUUGUUCAUACCAAAAGUUGAAUAAUGAACAAUUUUCCAAUUAAACUUGUCCCCCCCACCGCCGCGGCAACGCGGAAUCUCCCAUUCUGUCUCGUAAAUUAUGCAUGAGAAAACAUUUUGCCAGCUCCUUAACUUUGCCAUCCAAUACAACCUUGGCUGGCUCUUUCCUCUCCCCUAUGAUGUUUCCUAAAUCAUGACUGUCAAUCAUGAAAGAAUGCCCAAAAAGAGCAGAGCAUCCUAUAUAAAGUCUUCAUCCUCUCACGUUAGCCACCACCAAAAAGAAAUUAAACCCUUUAAUUCCUUUCACAGUUCCCAUUGUUCAGUGUUUUUCUCCAUCAUCAAUGAAAAUGAAGUCCAUCACUUGCAGUAAUUGGCUGAAGCUUUCAGUGUUCAUGACACUGCUCUUAGCUACCUCCGCUGGUAAUUUUUACCAAGAUGCUGUCACAACUUUUGGCGAUCAACGAGUUAAGAUAGCCGAGGGUGGUCGACUUCUCUCAUUGUCCCUAGAUAAAUCAUCAGGUUCAGGGUUUCAAUCCAAGAAUGAAUAUUUGUUUGGAAGAUUUGACAUGCAACUCAAGCUUGUCCCUGGAAACUCUGCUGGCACUGUCACCACAUUCUAUGUAAGUUCAUGAUCAUCAGCGCUUCUUCUUCUUCUUCUUUUUUUUUUUCCCCCGAAGAAAAAUAAAAGUUUCUCUUUCCAAUGUGUUAAUUAGAUUUGUGGUGUUUAAUUAAGUGGCUAAUGGCAAUCAUAUUCUUCUGUAGCUGUCAUCUGUAGGACAGGGACAUGAUGAGAUUGAUUUUGAGUUCUUGGGUAAUGCUAGUGGGCAACCAUACACUCUCCACACCAAUGUUUACUCACAAGGAAAAGGGGAUAAAGAACAGCAAUUUAAGCUUUGGUUUGAUCCCACAACUUUCUUUCAUACCUAUACAAUGGUGUGGAACUCUCAACGUAUAAUGUAAGUCCCUAUACCAUGCCCAUAAAAAAAAUAAUAUUUAUAGAUGCAUGGUGCACAUUAAUUAUCUUUUGAUCCCAUCUGCCUGAUGAUCCAUUCUUAGUCCUUUCAAUUAACAUGCUAGUCAAAACAUAAAAAAUAAUAACUUCAAUAUUUUAUACUAACUUCUUUUUUUUACACUAACUUCAAGUCUUACACAUCGAACACGCAUUCUUGACCGUUAUUGUAUUCCUCUCAGCAUGAGAAAGAUUAAUCUAUAAAAGUUACUAAAUAUUAUUAGUUCAAGUUCCAUUAAAUUUUGAUUUCCAUCCAUUUUCACCAAAUGUUGAUAUAUAUAUAUAUUUUUUAUUUACUUUCAGUUUCUUGGUUGAUAACAUUCCUAUAAGAGUAUACAACAACCACGAAGCCAUUGGAGUUCCAUUCCCCAAGAACCAACCAAUGAGGGUGUAUUGCAGUUUCUGGAAUGCAGAUGACUGGGCAACACAAGGUGGCCAAGUGAAGACAGAUUGGGCAAAUGCACCAUUCACAGUUUACUACAGAAACUUCAACGUCAAGGGAGACGUUUGUGUUCCUGGAUCUCCUUGUGGUUCUGGCUCUAAAUCCACAGAUUCUCUGAACACUCAAGAAUGGGAAACUCAAGGACUUGAUGGCAAAGGACGAAAUAGAAUCCGAUGGGUUCAACAGAAGCACAUGAUCUACAACUACUGUGCUGAUCGUAAGAGGUAUCCUCAAGGCCUUCCUGUUGAAUGCAAGCGUCCGAGGUUCUGAGGAGAUCAUGGAAAAGGCUGCUGUGAGUUGAUGAAAUUAAUUCUUUGUUCUUUUUUGAACAUCAAAAAUAAAAUGGUGUGUUGUUUGGUUUACCUUUUGCUCAUCACAUAUUGUUGUUGAAAAUUUUUUUUUUUUUCAUCUUUUUCAUAAUUCAGUAAUAGGCUAAGUAAAGUUUAAUUGAUAUCCUGUAUGCUGUCGAGCGGAAUUCUUAAAAGGAAUCCCAUGAUGAAUAAAAUAUCUUUAUGCUUUAUCUCUCUCUCUCUCUCUCUCUCUCUAUAUAUAUGUAUAUAUAUAUCGGUUACAAUGAUUUUUCUUUUCCCUAAAGAAAAAAAGGAAACUUCCGGCAUAUAUCAUUGCCCUUUUAGGCAAUGCCAGUCAAGACUAUGACUUGGAAGUUUGCUAAUAAGGCCGAGUAGAUAUGGGGUCAGGAAAUUUCUUGCUCCAAUUAAUUAAAUAAUGGGUUAAUUACAUUUACCUCCCCUGAGGUUUGACUAUAUUACCAAUAAAUUCCUGUAAUUUGUCUAAAUAAUGGUCUCACCCUUUGAAUGAUCAAACAUUUAACAAAAACCCCCUUAAUGCCGAAAAUGCCCUUAUUGAGGCCAUGUUGCAUUAAAAAAAGAAAAAGUAGGCGUCAACUCGCUAUUUUGAUAUUCUGAAGAAGAAGUAGGCAUGGGCAGAGAUUUGUUCCUUUUGUAUUAAAAAAUGCCACUGCAUUGUGGUAUAAAAUGAGACAUAAUAGUCAACUCAACUGGAGAAAUGAUUCCCCCUCUUAUUAUUAUUAUUUUUAUUUUUUUUCCUCACUUCAAACAGGAUAUGCUUCUUGUUAAUAAAUGUGAACGGAUCAAAAGUUGUCGGAAGCAAUUUUUAUUUUUUCCAUUUGUCCUUUUCGACAACUUAUGAGUUUCCUUAACAAGGACUAGUAGGAUUCAAUAUCCAUCCAAGCAAGUAGAGUCGAAUUUAAGGACUUGCCCGUGUAAAAGCAAUAAGGAUUUUUUUUUCUAGAUUUCAGGCUACUCGCUCGCUCGCUGGCUCUUGCUUGUUUCCCAUUUUAAGUAUCAAUUCUCUCAUUCUUCUCUUUUAGGAGCUUAUUGUUUUAAGGAUUGAUCUUCUGUACACUCUGACAGCGUAUACAUUUUUACCAUUAGAUAUAUGACACGUAAUUUGAAUUUGAAUUUGAAAGUCAAAUUUUGUGUAUGUGUCAUAUAUCCAACCAUGAUAAUGUAUACACCGUCAUCAGUAUAUAUAAGAUUUACUCUUUUUUUAAUGGUAAUUUUCAUUUCUAAAUUAGAGAAAGGUAAUAAGCGCUGAUGAGAUUUAUUAUGACCCCAUAUUUGUAAACUACGGGGCCGUGAGUUUUUUUUUUUUUUUUUGAUAAUGUAUUUUCCUUUUUCAUUUUUGUUUUGUGAAUAAAUUUUGACAAAUUUUAUUGCUUCGUAUUGCAUAUUGAUCUAGAAAUAGAGACAUGGAUACUCUCACAUAUUUUUCUUUUCUUCUUUAUAUUGUAAUGCAUUUUUAACUUUUGAUUUUAACAUGAUCAAAAGAGGAAUAUGCAACUUGAUAAGGAUGAAGAAAAUUCCUCUUUGAACUAUCUCUUGGUUGAACUACUAUUACGGUAAUAUUCUCUUUCUUUUUUUGCCAAAGAAAAGUCAUUAUCACACAAGAAAAUUAAAAUACUCAGAUGUCCAACAAAUUUUAGUUAGUUACAACAAAAAAUUGUGCCAUAUGGAAGCUUUACCAACCGCAAAACCUACAGGAGCUGCAAGUCUUAAUCAAUUCCCAAGUGCCAUAAUACGACGAAGGAGAUCAACAAGUGAUGAUAUGAUGGAGAUGCUUUUCUUUAUCGUCUUCUUUUUUUUUUUUUUUCUUUUUGAAUUCUGCCCACGAUUUUGAUGGGAUUUUAUUCUUUUAGCAUAUUCUUCCUUUAAGCAGUUUUGAAAUGAUACUCAUUGAUCGUUGCGACUAAUUGUCUAGCUAAUACGAGCUUAUUGUUAAAGAGCAAACACAAAUUGCAGGAAUAGUUGCGACUUAUGAAUUUAGGUGGAUGGUAAUAUAAGUGUUUUGGAACCUUAAAUUGUAAUCAUUUCAAUCAUUUGAAAAAUCAAAUAAUUAUUGUCUCUAAGCGAUAAAAAUUGAGAGAAUGAAUUCCUAAAGAACCGUAGAAUCUUUUUGAAUUUAUGAUUAUUGUUAUUUAUGCUUGUAUCAUAUUCUGAUCACAAGUGGAAAUUUUUAAGUAAUAAGAGUUAAAUUUUUCUUGUUAGUCAUGAUGAUGUUUGUUUGAAAUACAUAUGAGGGAUAUAAAUCGAAGGAACGGUUCUUUAAAAAAGGGCUUUUUUUUUUUUUAUGGAUAUUCAUAGCGAUCUAGAUUUCUAUUCUACAAUAAUAAAAAAAGUUCUAAAUUUUCUCGUGAUGAAACAAUGGGAUAGUGUUUGUUUGCACGGAAAAGUGUGGGAAAGUGAAGAAAAGUUUGUUAUUUUUCCCUUCAUGCAUGUUUAGUUGGCAGAAAUAUUAAAAUUUUUUCUUGCAUUUUCAUGCAUAUUGUGUCCUGCAAAGGAUUUUGAAGGAAAAUAAUUAAUUACACACAAAAGUUCUCAUAACUGCUAUUAACUAGCUUGUCAUUAACUUCUUGUAUUUUUACAAUGUUUUUCUUAAUUAGUAACCAAAUGUGUAUGAAAAACUUAUUUUCAUUUUCCUCCUUCACUUCACUUUUCCAUACAAUUUUCCUUAUAUUCAAACAGAGCCUAGGGGUUGGAUAGGAGAUUAUUUGAAAUAAUCAGUGUAGCUCUUUUUGUGAUGUGAUGCAUGUGAGAUAAAAAGGUAGCUGGAAAUUGUGCCUAUGAUGGAGUAAGUAAAACAAAAUCUGAAUUUUUUUUUUUUUUUGAAAUUCUUGAUAUCCAAACACACCUUAUCUUCAAUUAGGUUUCAUGCAAUAUAACUGGCCUAUAGAUAGCUGACUUAGAUCUGGAAUUUGAAAUAUUGUGCAUGAUUUUUUUCAGAUUUUUGGAAUCUGCAAACUGUUCUAAUAUUCCAUAUGCAACAACUGGCCUUACUUUCUUUUUGGAAUGACAGAUGCGCCAGCAAAGCAAUUCAUUUGGAUCUGCACUGCUGGAUACCCUUUCCAACUCAAAUUCCCAACGGCACAGUUGAGCACUAUCCUUUACCGCUCCAUUAUCCCUUGUGUCUUUCUCUAUGUUUUUCAUCUUUCAAACCGUUUUGAUGAUCGCACCCAAAAUUAACCAAAAAAAUAAAAAUAAAAAUAAAAAUACAAUGCAAAAAAAAGAUAGUAGUGAUGACCUUACAUCACAAAUGUAGCAUUUUUUUAUUGUUGUGCCAUAUGAAAAUUACAAAUUGAAAUACAGUAUUUAUCUUAUUUGUUUUGUAGUAUUCACAACAGGCUAUCUGCAGUUUGAUUAUAGGGAUUGAACUUUGUUCUUAGGGAACACUAAAAAUUAUGAAACUAUGAAGUGUAACAUGAAACGAUUCUAUCUUGCAAGCGGACAAAAGGGGAAAAUAUAUAUAUAUAUAUAUAUAUAUACAAUACAAAAAGUGGUCAUCUAACAGUAGAUGCAACAGUAUGAGCCCAGAACCUGAGUUGAUCUUUGAUUUCCAUUUCAUUUCCCAAACCUGGAUUAAUUUUCCAAUUCAUCAAUUUCUUCUUUACCUUUCUCUCAGCCUUCUUUUCGUCUAAAACGUCCCAUGCUUCAGAUAGAUAUGGCCUUGAAACAACAGGUUUUUCAUCAGCAAAAUCCUUCUUUUCUUCUUCUUCGUCAACAUUCCUUCCCAAUCUUUGCAAUCCAGGGAUGAUGGAAACCAAGCUUGAAUCUUUAUCUUCAUCAGAAAACACAAAUCCCAGAUCCAUAAACCCUUUUAACUCCUCAAACUCAAGCUCAGACAAACUCUUGCUAUUGUUUCUUCUCCUCUCUCUCCUCCUCCUCCUCUUUUUCCCUGCAUCAAAACCAGCUUUAUUUUCUUCUACUUCUGAAAACUCUCCGACUUCCUUCCCAGACAGAAUCGUUUGUGGCUUAGGCAAAAGGAGAACAGACUUUGGAGAAGGAGACCCAUGAUCAGGAGAAGCAGUCGAUGGGCUAUCUUUGGAGCUCAAAUUUUGCUCACUAAAAGACCUAACAACAAAUGAAGGAGUGGAAGAAAGCUUUAAUUUUGGUUCAACCUCUUCAUCAAUAUCAAGAACUGGAUUUGAGGUUGAGGGUUGUUUUUUCCUAAGGAUGCAAUGCUCAAACCAGUAAAUAUCGAAGAUUCUUAGCUCUUCUUCAGCUGGCAUUUUCUCUUCGAUCUGUCGGCAAUGAAGAAGGGGGUUUUGGCAAAAUUCAAGAACUUUUUUAUUUAUGGUGGACAUUGUCAUACGCUAGAAAUGUAUUUAUAUCCCCCCACUGGCCCGUUCCCAUAGGCCAUUUCACACACUCACACACACACACACAGUGGUUGAGUUGUUAACUUUAAAUUAUUGAUGGGCUUACGUGGAUGUCUAUUAAAGUAAUUCACGUUUUUGUCGUUCGAGAUUUAUUUCUUAACAAUAAUUUGUAUUUUGCAGUAUUAGCAUUUAAUUAAGCAAGAAAAUUUGUUUGUGCGUACGAGGCUUUGACUUGUGUUUGUCUGUGUUCUCAUCGUUCAAGGUUUAGUUUAAGAAUAAAUCUUACACGCACCAAAUAUUAAUCACUAAGAAAAAGACCAAGUCGUACGCUGCAUGCCUUUGACUUUUAACUUUUCGAUUGUUUUCAUCAUUCUCUAUAAUUAUGUCUUUUUUUAAUUAAGGGGAAAAAUUAUUGUAAAGAAAAAAAAAAGGAAUUCUAAGAAUUAUCGAGAUUGGUUGUCUUUUUUAAUUUUAAUUUUUAUGUUUUUGCCAAAAAGGAAUCACAAAGGAAGGAAAUUUGAGUGUAAACAAAAGCUAGAAAUGAAUAUAUAUAGCUUAAUUAUAAGAGCAGAACAGAUUGCAUUCUUAUUUUUCCAUUACAAAUAUUUGUACUAUAUUCAUUUUUGAUGGAAUAAUCAACUCAAUUCUUCGGAUUCCCAUAAUGUGAAAGGGGUCCAAAAUGUCUGGUCCAUUUUGAUGCGUAAAGUUGAAGAAUCAAUUGUGCCACUUUGUUUAAGGUCCACGCAAGAGGUGAGACUUUUCCUUUCUAACCUACAAUGCCCCCACAUCCAACCCAAAAAAAAAAGAAGAGAGGAUCAAGAUAAUAGACAAAUCAAAUCAUGAUCAUGCAUGUUUGACAACAAAAAAAAAAAAAAAUCACGAUCAUGCACUCCUCCAAUUAAUAAAGAAGAAGAAAACAAUAAUAACAACAGCAAAUGAUGGCCUACUUGAAGUUGAAAUAUCAAUUAAGGGCCAUAGGCAUGUGACAAACAAACAUUAUUGUUGUUAUAUCAUCUUAAUCAUGUCCCAAAUAUAUAAAAGACAAAGCAAAACUAUGCCCCUUCACAUUUAUUUUAUGGGUGUUGUUGUGACAUUCCUUUCCAACCACUAGAAUUAGUCAUAAUUACAACAUAGGUUUAAGAAGCUUUGUAUGAUUUGCUGUUGGAGUUGAACGUAAUUAACUCUCAAUUUAAUUUCUGUGUCAAAAAUGAUAAAAUUGAUUUGAGCAAAUCUGGUCGCAUUUCAGUUUCAUUGGUCAACUCAGGGUCUAAUCUAAUGAAAUGAUGCUGUGGGAUUGGCAAACUUUCCUUUUCUUGACGUCUUUUAAUAUCUUCUGUGCAAGGGCUGGAUGAUGCAUGCAUUAAUUAUUCUUCCGGAAUUACAGGUGGAACGUUAAUAUCUUCUGUGCAAACUGCAGAGCAGUGUUUGGAAUGCACGUAAGCCACCAUAUCUGCAAGAAAUUAUUCAUUCAACUCACAAGUACAAUGUGAUAAGAAGAUGGGAAAUCCCGUGAUGACUUUAGUUCAGUUCCCAGGUGAAAUCAUUUCUUCUUCUUCUUGUUUUUGUUUUUUUUUUUGGGGGGGGGGGGGGGGCGCUAAAAAUGAAGGGGUUUAUAACUAAGUCUGGAUAUGAUCAAGAAACAUAUAUAUAUGUUUCAUGUUUGAGAGAGAGAGAGGAGAAAAUGAAUGAUGCUUUGUAUAUAUUUAUGCUUUGUUCCAGCAAAAUUUUGAUCAUCAGGCAAGUAUUUGAGCAACAGUAGUAGAAUGGCCUUGAUGGCUGACGUCUCCAGGACCUAGCUAGAAAAUUCUUAUUCUCAAAUUGAAACUUCAAAUGGUCAUUUCUAUUAAGAAACCAACCUUUUGGAGAAAACACAAAGAAAUUCCAAGUAUACCUGAAAUCAUUUUGCUACAAUUUCGCACCCUGGUAUCAAUUUUUUUUCGUUUUUUGGCUUCUGAAUCACUUAACUGUUGAAUAUUCUUCGAUCUUGAAUAAUAAGCUUCAAUUGUUCAAUAAAGGUAAAGAACCUCGUCCAACACUUGCUGCAUACUGAAAAAUUUUGCUGAGGGAAAUGCAAGAUGUGGUAUAAAAGGAUGGAUUGUCCCAAGCACACAUGGUCAUUAUCGUUUGUCGAGAUCAUCUUCUUCACUAAACCAAGAAGGUAAUGGCACAGAUGGAUCAACUAAGUCCAAGAUUUCAAUACUUGGUACCAUCUGAGGCUCAAGAGAAUCAAGAAUUGCAAGAAGAUCAGCCACACGAGGUCCUUAAAAGCUGUCUGAAAUCAGGUCCAAUUGCCCGAAACCCAGGCUUGGCAACUGCCAGCAUGCAACUUUUCCAGUUUUGAUUUCAGUCUCAACUAUAUAUUGAUGCUCAAUCCCAAGCUCAUGAAACACUACUAGUACUUUGAAUCCAUGUAUGCAUUACAAUUUUACAUUAAUUAUUUUAGUUCUACCGACCUUUCAAUCCAGACUUCAUUCACUUAAUAAUACUCAAUGCUUCGAAUUCUUUGUCGUGUCACGCAUUGUCCAGAGCUAAGCCAAGAAUCCAUGCGAUUCCGUUUCUAUAGGUUCGUAUCAGAAGCAAACAAAUUUUUGGAGACUUCAACGAUCGCAGCAGACAAGAGAGGAUAAAAUUUUACACCACACAUUGUAGCUGGUGACUUGCCAAUUUGAUCACGCUGUACGGCUUGGGAGAUUCCACAAUCUACUGUCUCUAAUGCGCAACACGAUACCAUGCAUCUAAGGUGGCUCGUGUAAAAUGUCUUUAACACAAAACACUUGAAUUGUAACUCUAAUGUUUUCUCGAAUUAAUUAUACUUUUCUAAAAAAACUAACACUUAAAACCACUUUUAUCAUCGAGUAUCUAAUGAGCAUCUGUUAGCCAGAACCGUGUGUAUAUAUAUAUAUAUAUAUAUAAAGGCACAAGAAAGAAGGAAAAGAAAACCAUUUCAAGAACUCCAAAGUCUAAGAGAGCUUUAUAAGAUUAGAAGGUUAGUUCAUGGAGCAGAUCAUGUCCGUACCCGGUGUCAAAUGAAGAUAAUCUGAGCGUGCGCAUGCAUCUGGAUAAUGGGGGCUAAAGUCUUAAAGGUGAUUGUAUGAUUUUGUCUGAUUUGACCCUCUUGUUCUUGAUGGAUGGAUUAGGCUUUUGGUGUUGACUGGCCUCACUUUAGAACUAAGCUUCUGGGCCCUUGAGAACACAAGGGGGUUAAAUUCUAAUGCUAUGGCUGUCUGGAUAAUUGCCCUGACCAGUGACUCUGGACAGUCUUCUUAUGUCAAGUCAUGGCCCAUUUUUCCCAAUGGGACAUUUCCAUCUCUAAUCAAUUAAUUUGAAGGGCAAUUUUUUAGGUGCUAAAACACCCUUUUUUUGAACCCAAAAAACCAAAAAAAAAAAAAACAUGUAGAUGCUAGAUUGGAUGGUGUUGAGACUCAAUGUCCCAAAUUAUGUUAAAUUACACAACAGCAUGUAGUUUUAAUUAUUUAAGAGAUUUGGAAUGUUUUACUAGUAGGUUAAUUAACGCCUAAUUUGAUAAAAGAAUCGUUGUAAUAUUGAAUCUUUACGAGUCAUUAAGGUACCAUGCACAAUGAGGGAGGAUUAGGUUGGAUGGUAAGGUGGGAGGAAUCGUGAAUUAGAACAAUUUGUCUAAAUGGCUUCUGGUUCUUGCACCAGUUUAUCUAAUCAAAUUCCCCUGCGAAAGAAGAUACUUCAUCCAAAAAAGAAAAAAAGAAAAGGGAAUUAUGAAGGGAGGUGUACCUCAAUAAUCAUCUAAACAACCAUGGAGCUUUUGAUUCGCAUUUCAACAUGGAAACCAAAAUCAAAAUUAUAAGCCUCACAAUGGUAUGGAUGUUCACUAACCAAUAAUCAUCCUUACUUUCAAACCCAUUGUAUCAUUCUAAUAGUGAUUAAUCAAACAAUAAGAACAAAUAUCAUUAAAUUUGAUACCCGUUAAUGAUUUUCAAACCCAUUUUCCAAACAUCCCCUAAAACCUUUCCUUCAACCAACUCGAAUAAAAAGUUGCUAUCCUGUCAAGAUAACAAAAAUACACUUUUUAUUCAUCUUUGAAUAUAAUGAACCUAUAGUAACACGGCAUCCUUUGCCCUCCUAAGGCAAUGAAGGGAGCAAGAACUGGUCUUACAUGACAUCCUUACAGAUUUUUUUUUUUUUUUUAAUAAUCAGUUGCUGAUUAAGAAAUCAAGUAGACUUGUACUACUAAUAUUUCAGUAACCAAAUUAAGAUACCUUUUCAUUUUCAAUUAUUUAACUUUAUCUUAAUAAUCAAUCCAAUCAGAAUAGUAUGCUGCUGGCAUUAGUAAGAUAAUGGUGAAGUAUUCCUUAUCAACCAAACUUAAUUAUACAAUCUGAUUAUUGCUAAUCAAAAUAGAUAGAAUAGUCCUAUCCACCAAUGCGUAUCCUUUUUUUUUUUUUUUUUUUUUACGAAAUAGUUGAUUUAAUAGUAGUCCAGGUUGCAGAACCACCCCAAUUGAUGAUUUAUUCCCUUUUUUUAUGCUUUUUAUUAUUUGCCUGAUAAUGAGUAAUUAUUGUCAUUAAAAAUAAUUAGUUGUCUAGGCUAAGCUAAUGCUGGCAUUGCCUACUAAAAAGGAACAUAAGUCGGUUAAUAAUGUUCAUCUAGCCAGUGUCGCCAAAUAAACCAACCAGGAUUGGUUUUUUUUUUUUUUUUUUUUCAUCUAGCCAGUGUCGCCAAAUAAUAGAAGUGCCACCAAACCAACCAGGAUUGGUUUUUUUUUUUUUUUUAAUUUUUAAUUUUCUGCUGAUCUCAGGACACAAGAAUAUCAGCAAUUUAAUGGAAGCACAGAAAGAAUUGAGAUAUCCCAAAAAUUUUGAGAAUAAAAUUUGAUGAAGAUAAUAAAACCCUUCACUGGAUAGGUGUUUUUUUUUUUUUUCACUUCAACAAUUUAAUUCAAGAUCAAAAUUGGAGAAAAAUAGGAAAAGCCUUUUACUAGAUUAGUGUAUCUUUUAACUCCAAUAUUUUACUACUCUGAAGUUUAUGAUGGUUAUGUUGUUGUUAUCCCACUUUUCGACAAAUAAAACUAAAAUGUUUUUCGGAAUUUGCAUAAUUAUUUCCACACUUGAAACACUUGUAUAUUUUCUUUAAUGCACAUGAAUAGAACUUUUUUAUUUUCGUCUGAGAUAUGCUGAAAGUUUGGUAUACAAUUGACUACGGAUUUUCAUAGAAUUGCAACCUUUUUCUUUCUUUUUGUUUUUUUGGGUUUUGGAAAAUAGGAGCAGAGUUGGCAUCUUGAUAUUUCAUUCCUCUUAAAUAAAAAAAAAAAUCCACAAGUUCUAUGACGUCACAAUUGACUGCAGCCUGUUGUUCUCUGUCAUUAUUGUUAUUCAUUAAAAUAGGAAGUUUAUUUAGACAAGUAAUCAAUUAGAUAAUGAUAAAACCAACACCAAUUCCCCCUUCCACGCCACCUUUGAUUAUAAAAAUACAAUUAGAGGGUCGUACAUUUGAUUAUUUUCAAUAGUUUGGAAUCUUCUUGGUUCCUUGUAUUGAAUGACAAGAGAUAAAACUAUCACUAAUAAAAGCUUGGUUAGAAAAAAAAAAGGAUGUCCAAGAAUUUAAACUAACAUGCAUCUUUCCCUUUAGUUUAGCAGCCACGUUUGAUAAAACUGAAGUCUGAAAUUUGAAAUUUGAAUUUAUUAAAUUAGUGAAUUCUUAAAUACUAAAUUUAAUACAUUUGAGUGUAUAUUACAUUAAAUGAUAAGUGAAUAACUUAUCACUUAUUUUUUGGAGUGAAUUUUGUCUAGAAAAUUCAGUGCCACUUAAUGAAUUCAAGUGUUCUAAUUUUGGUUAUCAAACGCAUCUGAACCCAUUAAAUUUAAGUGCUGAGUUAAAUUAUCAAACAAGGCCUAACAAUUGUUACAAUUUUAAGCAACUAAAAUUUGUCAAAAAAAUUAGUAAUGAAGAUUCAUGUACAAUGACUAGAUCCUAACCAAGAAGUUAUGCUCAAGUGUUACAAUUUACAAUUGGUUUAUGUCAUUUUUAUUUGUAAAGCUUACGAUUGGUUUAAAGUUCCCUAGGAAAAUCUCUAUACUCUUUUAGAAUAUGCAUUACUUUUUUUUUUGUCAACACAGAAAAUGUUCCAAUUUUUACCAGACUAAUCUCCCUACGCCCGUGCACCCCGUCCUCCAAAGAUAUACGGGACGAUAGGAGAGCCAGAGUCCACCACAGGAUCUGGGACCUAACGAGGUUAUCUCAUAGCCAAUCUGCGGCCGAGGGGCCUUAGAAUAUGCAUUACUUGACUCUCUAUUUCCCUGCUACUUUUCCAUGCACACAUUCAAGAAAUGCAUGCGUAGUUUACAAUUUCUAAAGCCUAGUAUCUGAUCUACUAGGUAUGAAACCAAUGACCGCAGGCAGUAGUCAUUAUUUUACUAUGUGUGAAAUCAAAGACUCGAUGAAAUUGCCAUGUACCAUGCCAUCCCCCUGGAUGGAUGGCUGCGAGAGCAUGCUGAGGUAGACUGAAAACUAUUUUAUUGUGAACAGGAUUGACUUUGGAUAAGGAUCCACAUUAAAUCAUCAAGAUUUCUUCCGAAACUUAGAACAUUCAAAGAUCCAUUCCAACUAGCUAGCUAGGUUACUUGGGUUCAGUAAUUGAUGGCGGGCUAGUUUUUUUUGGAACAUGUCAAGUUAUGGAUUAGGAACUCUAGCAAGGAAGACAAACAGUAGUGGUUCAGUCACAUUCUAUCACUUUUUGUCCAGUAGGAGUAAUAAUCAAGUUGUCACACUAGAAAAAGAAUUUACAAGUGCUGCACUUCUUUACGUUUCCCUUCUUUUUCCUGCCUACUAAUGCUAACUGAAAACUGGCAAAAAAAAACCUAUGGUAUAAAACUUGCAAGGAUAUUAUAGUACUUCAGAAAACCAGAAAGAGCUAAUGAUUGUGAAACUGUUUUUUUUUGGAUGUUACUCCCUACAUUUCUUGCAUGGAUUUAGUUGGACACGAUGGAUGUAUAGCCGUCCUCUUAACAAAAAGAACCAAAAGCUCCCAUUCCAACCAAACCUCUAAAACCAGAUGGUCCAUUUUCACCGUAGACUCCAAAUACCCAAACCAAUAGAUAAAAGCCCCUAACAAUAUAGGCCAGUUGCUGAUGCAUUUUUCGUCUGGUACAAAUUUUUAAUGCUCCCCAUGACAUAAUAUCAAACUGGCCAACUUCACCAUAAAUAUUUAUCCAUGAGAUCAGCUCCAAAUUUAUAAGUAGGGGCCCUUAGCCAAAAAAUCUAAAAUACACUUGACUGUGUCGCAUUAUUGCGUGAAUUGCUCCCACGUCCUAUAUUAAAUUAGACCUGUGCCAAUCUGUCAAUGUGACUAUUCCCAUAUUAAAACCCAAACCUCUCAAAAUUCCACUACCUUCCCCACUUGAUACCGCACCGCACCUACUCUUCCCUUCCGGCAACACCACUUUUUCCUCUCCCAUUUGGCCCAUUUUCGUGUUUGUACGUGUAUAAACAGAUGUCAUAUUUGUACCCUUUUCCGUGUAGAUUCCGCUGCUAGAAUCUCCAGCCUGCAGAAGCCAGAAAGCCUGUAGUAACUGUAUCCUGUCGUAACUAUUUUGUCCUGUAGCAUAGUUUUUACUACUUAGGGAUGGUUCAGAAGAAUCCAUUAGAUCAUGAUCAGCAAGAGGAUUCCACAAGCACCCCAGAGAAUGUUGCUGAUGACUCUGCCUUCUCUGGUGACGAAGCAUAUGAAGUUACAGCACCAUCACCUAAAAAAAGGUUCCCUUUUUUUUUUUUUCUCGAAUGUUUCACAUGUUUACAGUUUUUCUUGGGAUUCUUCUCCGGAGGUGGAGGGGUGGGUUUUUUUUUUUUUUUUUUUUGCAAGAAAGACCGUUUCCAUGAAGGAUUUUAGAGCGAGCGUUGAUGCUGUAUUUUUUGCUGGAAUGAUAGGAAGGGCGCCCAGAAGAAGGUAAUAACAGUGCCAAUUGGAGAAGGGGAUGGAUCAAGAAGUAAAGGAGAGGUAUACCCACCCCCUGAUUCUUGGUCCUGGAGGAAGUAUGGGCAGAAGCCAAUUAAAGGGUCACCAUAUCCCAGGUAUAGAAUCCUCUCCUUUUAUACUGUAUACUACCCUUGAUUUUUGCACUUUGCUUGAGCAAAUCAAGAAAGCUAUAUGGUAGACAAAUGCCUUGAGAUUCUGCUUGUUUGUUCAUGGGGAUGCUGCAGCUAGCAAUGGUAGCACAUAAUACAUACAUUAAAUUUGGAAUUAGACUUGAGAUGCUUUGAUUAUAGGUGUUAUAAAACAAUAUCCAUUGAAUAAAACUAGGCAAAAUUGAUCGAAUUUUAGUAUGGAGUUUUGGAUAAUCUUGUAGCUGCCGGCCGGGCAUUUGUUGGAGUUGGAACGAAAUAAUCUUCUUGUCUAGUCUUCUAGUCUAGUAUCAAUGCUGGAAAAGAUAUACAAAGGCGGCUCGGAGUUGUGGACUAAAAUAUGUGCAUUAAUUAAUGGACGUAGUGGUUGGAGUUGCCUUUACAUCUCUUUGGUUUUCCACUCUCUUCAAGAAAUGUGUGGCUAACACGCCCUUAAGAGUUAAGAGCUAGCAAGCAAAUUCUGAUGAGAAUUUGCAAUUUGGAUUUGGAAGCAUUAGAGAGGGGGGCCUACUUUUGAUUAGUGGGAGCCCACUCCAAACAUUUAAUUUCGCUUCUCUUGAUUUGUCUUUUCUUUGAUGUUUUCCAUUUUUUUCCUUUCUGGUUUUCUGGUUCCUGAAAAGUUAUCCUGUCCAAGAAGAUGAAAAGAUUCAUUAUUAUUGCAUCAUGUCAUCAAAGAUGACAGUUUCAAGUGCUAUCUAUCAAACAUAGAUGAAGCCAAGAAGUGUUCCAAAAUCAGAACUUAUUUACUCCAUUAGUGUGUGUGUAUAUAUAUAUAUAUAUAUAUAUACACCACAUGAUUUUGGGACUGUCAAAAAAAAUCAGCUCUAAUUGCAUCUUUAUAUAAUGGUAGGUAAGGAUUUGUCUUCGCACACGAUCAAUUUGGCAAAAAUAGUUGUGUUUGGAUUGUAUUUUCCAUGAUUUUUCAUGAAAAAAUUACUGUAGCGAUUUGGAUGUAUGUUAGUGAAAAAGGUAAUAGGGAGAUGUGAUCACAGAAAACAACGUAAUUUUCUGACGAAAAGUUGCAAUCCAAACAAAGUCUAGUGAAUGGCCAUCUUUUCUGCACUUUCUUUUUUUGUUGCCCUAAUGCAAAAGGGUCCCAACCUUUAGAUAACGUUUAUCUUUUGGAGAUGUCAUUUAGUAUAAAAUUUGAAGUGUGCAUGUUUUGUAGUAGUAUGGACAACGUUACUUGAAUCUCCGUUUUGGUGAUUUUUUUUUAUCUUUUUAUGUAUAUAUAUUUUGUCAUCAUAAUAUUUGAUGCAGAAAGAAAAAGUUGAGCUAAUAUUUUGCAUGUGUUGCAUGCCAGGGGAUAUUAUCGGUGCAGUAGCUCUAAAGGCUGUCCCGCAAGAAAACAAGUAGAGAGGAGCUGCCUCGACCCCACCAAGCUCCUCGUCACCUACUCUUGCGAGCACAACCACCCCAUCCCCACCACCACUUCUGCCGUUGCUGCCGCCGCCACGCCGAGUGCAACCACGACCUCCACCUCCACCUCCACGUCAUCCGCCGCCACCGACAGCGCUCCCGUGAAAUCUGCCGCGGAGGACGAAUAUGGGGUCUUCGCCAACCGGCCGGGAUUGGAAUCCGACGACAACAGCGGCAGCAGCUUCAACGAGCUCGCCGGAGAAUUGGGUUGGUUCUCCAAUGUGGGGUCCACCAUGAUGGACAGCCCCAGCUUAGUGGGCCCCGCAUGGGUGGAUGCUGACGUGGCACUCAUGCUGCCCAUUGGGGAGGAGGACCAGCUGUUGUUUGGCGAUCUUGGGGAGCUCCCGGAAUGUUCGGUGGUUUUCCGGCGGCGGGGACUGGAGGGGACUACGUGCUGCGCGGGUUCAGGAUAAGAAGGGUGUACAUUUUUUUCUCGUUGACUGAUCCAACGGCGAAUAACGCUGUUGACUAUUGAGUAUACAAAUAAUUGUAGGUGCACGUGUUGCGGCGUUGAUUGCGAAUUCCACCCCACAAGCCAACGGCUAACUUGCCGCUUCCCAUUUCAUGCUCCAAUCGCAAAUUUUUAUUUUCGUUUAAAAAAAAUUAUCAAAAAAAAGGAAAGAAAAAGACAAAAGGGAAAAAUGGGAAAUGGGAGUUUGUUUUACACCUUCAUUGCAAUUAAUUUUGCCAAGUGGGCUCUCUACAUUUAUUUAUUUAUUUUUUUUUGGGUACAUUAUAUCUCUACGGGAGGAUGAGAAUCUAAAGGGACGAAGGUAUGGUCGAAUCCUAGUUACCUUAAGAUUAUGGGAAUUUUGAGGUGAAGAAGAUGUUCUUUUGGAUCUGUUGGACGAAAUUCAGUCAUGAUCAAUGACAAAAUGUCAACCACCAAUGGUGCUACUGUCAUUUUUUUUUAGUGUAUCAUAUUUAGUAAUCGAUCGUGAAGAUGAUACAUUUUUUUUUUAUCUUUUUCUGAUCUAAAAAUGUGCGUAUUUUGAUUGUGCAAUUUCAGAGAAGUAUAAAGAUAAGGAAUGAGUGAUUUCUUUUACUACUCUUCUUGGAUGGAUGAUUUCAUCCUCCCUGGCUACUUUUGGAGUUUUUGUUGGAUCAAGAGAUUAUUGGACUCUGGCUAUGACACUCUAUCAAGACUCAAAAGGGGCAGCAGAAUAAGUUACAUUUCAUGAUUUUUUUUUUUUAUCACUAAUACUUACCUCAAUGAUUUCAAUUAAUGAACACAGGUUGGUUGGUUGGUUCCCCCCUUUUGUUCCUCAAGCCCAACUGCUGGUGCCUUGCGGAUUUGGGGCAGGGACGGUCAUCAGUAUGACCGUCCCUGCACGGUUAAAAUUUUGUGCGGCUGAAAAUUGGCCCUCAAAAUUUUGUGCGGCUGAAAUAACACCAUGUAACUCGAAAUUCGCGCCAAGUGUGGAGCCCACUACUAUCUGUUGUGAAAAUACAUCCUGUGAAAAAAAAGUUACGCGCAGUUGAACCAAUGUUACGCGCAGUUGAAAUGAGCUAAAAUUGGCAGGGACGGUUGCAGGUGCAACCGUCCCUGCCCCGAGUCCGUGCCUUGCUGCCACAAAUAUCUACCUAUAACACUUGAAAGUCUUGAUGGCCAACAAUAUUUUGCUUGUCAGAUUCUGAGUACAAUUAUUUGAUGAGUCAUAAUGAGCUGGGAUCAAUAAUUGUUCAAAUAUAUAAAUCAUAUAAAACCUGAUUCCCACAUAAUAUUCCAAUUAUCGACCAUGAUCCACAUGCCAGAGAGAGUUACCUCUCUCUGUGGGCAGUCACUUGCCAGGCUAAACAGCUUUACAUACAAACCUAGUGGAGCUAGAGGCCAAAUAUCCAGGAUUAUGGCAGUCAUGGAAAUGUCAUAAUCCAGAACAUUAACCCACAGUUGAGAGGCAAUCGAAAGUAAGGAAGGCGUUUAAAAAAAAAAAAAGCCAUCAAUAUGCAAUUUUCACUAGACAACCAUCCAGAGUUGAGGUUUCCAAAGCAAUAUUUCAGAAAAUACUGAAGCAGGCUCUUCUCCAUAUUCUAGAAGGAAAGGACUAACCAAGUAACUAUACCCAUUCCUGAUCCUACCAAGUAAGAAUUUCAUGAAAAUACUGCUUAAGCAUUUCCAUGUAACUGUCAUCUUAUAUGAUCCCAGACAAAGAGGACAAUCAAAUGAACAAUAUUGCUGGUUGAACGAUGUAAUGUACAAGACUUGUGCAGCAAGAGCCAUUGUCGUUGAAGGUUUCCACGCAAGCUCUAGCCUGAACAGCAUCCAAAUCUCUUCCAAGAAGAUCCCUCAUCUUUGAUAUCGAUUGUCUCGCCUUUAGCAGGAACAGAUGAAGUAGCACCUUCAUCACUGGCCUCGACUGCCUUCCUACUCACAAUGUGGUAUAUUUGUGUCAGGACUUCAGCAAAUGCAUUUUCCACAUUCGUUGCUUCCAGUGCAGAUGUCUCCAUGAAAAAGAGGCUCUCCCUCUCUGCUAAAGCUUUACCAUCCUCAGUUGAAACUGCUACAAGAUGCCGAAGAUCGGAUUUGUUGCCAAUGAGCAUAACUACAACAUUAGGGUCAGUAUGAUCUCUCAAUUCCCUCAGCCACCUCUCAACAUUCUCAAAGGUAGAACGUCUAGUGACAUCAUACACAAGUAAAGCACCAACAGCUCCUCUGUAGUAGGCACUGGUAAUGGCACGGUACCUGCAGCGGGCAAAGGAAGCAUAUGAAUGCAGAAGUUAAAUGCUUUACAAUUUAUAUGUAUGCAAUUCCAACUACUUGUCAUAAUUCAGAAAUGAAUUACAGCUCAAGUACUUGAUUCCAGCUGUAGUGCAUGUGAGCUAAAUACUCCUUUAACUUCGGCAUUAAAAAAAGUUCACAAAAAUUAGAUUUAAACAUGAAAGUUUGCAAGAAAUAAGAACAAACAGAAAAAGUGAUUAGAGGAUGCUAUAAAGAAAUGCUAAUAUGAUUAAAAUUUUCUUGGUGGAGAUAUGGUCUAAACAAGAGUGCAGAGAAAGUAUGCAUGCUAAAAAAAUUACACACAACAUGCAUGUAAUAUCUGUAAGGCAAAAGUCCAGGAGGCAAAAGUCCAGGAGCAAGGCACUUGAGACAACCCGUUGGAAUGGAAACAUACAAAGACCAACCUGUGACCUUCAAGCUCAUAAAAUCACAAAAAAACAACAUUAGGCUUCUAUCAAGGUGGUCCAUGAAGGGUAAUGCAGGCAAAGAAACAGUUCAAGAAAAUAAGGAAACUCAACGUGUUUUCUCAAGCAGAUGAACACAACUUUAAAUGUGACUAAACAUUCUCGUCCAUAAGUUUUAAGCUCCUUAUCUAGAGAGCACUACACACUUUAAUAAACUGGAAAAGAAUGAAACUCGAUCUCAUCAUGGACCAGAUGUCAGGAUAAGAUUUAUAUUCCAUGGCCUAGGAAGCAUAUGAUGCUGCCACUGAGAAGUUGCACUCUGAGGCAUAUAACCCAAACAAGAUUCACUACUCCAACAUUCACAAUAAACUACUCUAGUUUAGAUCUGGUGCAGAUUUUAAACAAGUACAUGAUAACUCAAAACCUAACAAUCAUUAAAUUACAGGAAAAAGGUAUAAGCAAAUAAAUCAGCGCCCAAGGACAUGCACACCAAUGGUAAGACUACAUAUAUCUCAAUGUUUGCUCCUUUCAGCACCCUCAUAUUUCUCCACAAUUUGUUCACAGAGAGCAAAUUCAAUUAAGCUUUUAGGCUAGCAUAUCGAAUGAAAAUGAGCUCCUUGGGGGAAAAAAUUGCAGCAUUCUAAAAUGUUUUACUUCAGAUAAGGGACUCCUCUUUAGCAUUUUCGAGCAAUUAAUUACAUAACUUUACCAAUCACAGUGUUGUAAUAGUUGCUUUCACAUUAGAAUGUUAAAGCACCUCAAACAAUACCUCAUGUGACGCCAAAGAUUUGGAAAUAGACAACGCCGGUUACAUGAGACCUGAGUUAUGUCCUUGUCAAACAAAAUCAGGUAUAUGAGAUAGCCAUAACUUUCCUGUCUUGUUCACUAAAUAUUUAUUCCUAACCAGACAAAUAUAUAACCAGAUACAAUGCUUCCUCCUUAUAUAUCCAGUCACAAUCACUCUUAGCUUCCUCCUUAUCAGAACCCCAGUAUGCUUAACUUUCUACAAACUUGACUACCUCAUGCUUCCUCCUUCACUAGCACCCAGGUACAAAAAUUUCAGGAUUGAGUGCAGAUGAUUUUGACUCCAAAAAAAAUUGGAGUCAAUGUUUAGCCAGUAUCACAAUUACACCAGUUCAAGUAAUGAUAAAAUUGUUAUUUGGGUAUGAUAUCCCAAGCUAUUGCCGAAUGAGAACCAAUUAACAUUAACAUACAUGAUGAAAUAAAACAAUAAAUUGGAGCCCAAAACACAUAAUGAAGGAUGCUAAGCAUAACUGCUCAGUGAAACACCCAUUCAUUGAGGAUUAGACAUCUGAUUCUAUCAUAAGAAUUCAGCCAAGUACCAAUGAAUUAACAAAAAUGUAACAAGAUGCCAAUUGAAAGAUUACACUAUUCUCUUUCCAAAUGUACACAUAUGGCCUAAUUACAUUAUCCCCUUCCAACUUUAGUCCAAGACAUCUAACCCCUUCAACUGACAAAAAAGUGGUCCAAGUGAAGAAUUCAUCAUCUAGAGAUUACGCAGACCAUUGAGAGGAAUUGAUUUACCUCUCGAAAAUAUUGUUUUUCACUUUAACCCAUUUGACAGGUAACAUCAAUAAUUACAUGAACAAAACAAACAACCCGCAAAAGUAUUCAAAAUACUUUCAAUUGAACAGUUUGCAGAAUUCUACACAUAUUACAAUUGUAAUGACACCUUGUUGAUGCAUUUCAUAUCCAUCUAGAUUAUCAAAUUCAUCAUCUAAGUCAUUUUCCAGCCACGUAAACUACAUGUAUGUUUUUACCUCUAGAAUUCCAAUGUAACAGAUCAAAACGCAACACAACCAGCAUAUAUGGACACAUUUAUACAACCCAUGACAUAGGAGGAUCACUGCAACUUCUCCCAAGGAUUUUGUUGUCCAAUGGCAACAAAUGUUCUUCGAUUAGUAGCAUCAAGUAUAAACACACUGCUAGGAUUAUGAGUCUAGGUAAAACUAGAAUCAUAAAGCAAGGUACCAAAGAAGGAGAAUUACAACGACAAGCAGUAUCUCUUAUGAUGUGGAUUUUGGAGAAUAAAAAGAACAGAAUUUCCCAGGCUUAAUAUAGACCGUAGUGAUCUGAACCUGCCUACCAAUAAGGAAAAGCUUGAAGAAUAGUUGUUCACACAACUUAACUCUUCCCAGAAGUACAGUUAAAUUAACACGUGGCAUGAAGUUUGGCAUAUCACAAAUCUAAGCUCUUUGUCCCAUGCUCAAGUUAAAAGUGUGUAGAAACCUAGGCCUGUUUUGAAGCAAGAAAUAAGUGCAUGGCUAAGAAUCAUCUCAAGUUAAAUUAUUGAAAACUCUCUAUCUUCUAACACUAAAAUGGACACACAUCACAGUACAUCCUGUUGCUACGUUUAACAUGCAGAGAAUUACUCUUUAAAGGAUAAUCACAAUGGACAAUAGGCAUGACUUUUUUAAAAUCAUAACUUUUUCUUUAGGAGCCAUAUGGUAGGUAAUCUAAAGGUCAUAUGGUAUGUAACCUAGGGACCAUAUGAUAGGUAAUCAUAAAACAAUUAACCAUAAAAGGGAUUGAUGAUCAAUUUAAAUCACAAACAAGUAGCAUGGACAUCGUACUAUUCACUUCCAAGCAAUGGAUAAUUGGUACCUUGUUUAUAGACUACACAGACCACUAAGAACUUUCCCUCCUUGACAAGCAACGAGUCAUAUUGAUUAAAGCAACAAGUGACAAUCACCAAGUCAAGACAAACCCAUCAAUUUCCAUUUACAAAAUAAUCGAGGAAAUACCAAAAAACAAAAGAAAACUCCUACAAAGAUUUUUUUUUUUUUGGGGGGGGGGGGGGAGGGGGGUGCAUGGAAACCAUAAUAAAGGUUUCUGGAAGACAUUAGCAACAAUCAUUACACAAUUGGCUGCACCAAUCUUCAAUCUUCCAAUACAAAAAUCAAAACACAAAUAUGAAAAUCAUCAAAAAAACCCAUGCAAUCAACUGGCUUACUGUUGCUCAACUUUCCAAUUCAUCAAAAAAAAAAAAAAAAAAAGAAACUGGCUUACUGUUGCUCAACCUUUCAAUUCAUCAAAAAAAAAAAGGGAAAAAGAAAGACAGAAAGAAAGAAAAUCACACAACUCACAGGUAAAUCGAUCAAACACAUCUAAUAGCGCAUUAUUUUUAUGCUCACCAAGGCAUAUCCACAUCUAUACACAUGAAACUACUAAUAGCACGGAAAUAAACCCCCAAGGCAUAAAAAGAUUCAGUUUUGAUAAAACCCCAAUAAAAUAGUAAGAGGGGUUGAAGAUUAGGCAACCUUUCUUGGCCAGCAGUGUCCCAAAUCUGAGCUUUGAUAACCUUGGAGUCUACGUUAAGACUUCUAGUAGCAAACUCCACACCAAUAGUGGACUUAGACUCGAGAUUAAACUCAUUCCUGGUGAAUCUUGAAAGCAGAUUGGAUUUGCCAACCCCUGAAUCACCUAUUAGCACUAGCUUGAACAGGUAAUCAUACUCAUCUUCAGCUCUGUAGCCUGCCAUAUCUGAUGUAUCUGGCUCUCCUUUUCUUUCAGUAGGUGUUGUGUGUGUGAAUUUCUGUUCCACCAGUAUUGGUUAGUAGUGGUGGUGACGGAUGUUGGUUAGGCAGCUGAGUCUUUUUUGAAAAAGGAGGCUCGAAGUGGGAAGGAAAUGCUGUAGACUGUUGUCGGGGGAUUUGCCUAGAUUCCUGCUUCCAGAAUUGAAAGAAAUCAGCCAAUAUUAAUUUACAUCUUUACCCUUUAAUUUUAUAUCCUCAACAUUCAAUGAUUCAACAAAGAGUGAAUCCAUGGGCUCUCUCUCUCUCUCUCUCUGUUAAUGAUGAAUAUGUUUGGAUAACAGAUAUUUGGGAUAAUUUUUUUUCGAAGAAAAUACUGUAUUAAUUGUUUGACAUGAUGUACGUGAAAUAAAAUAAUUAUUAAAAAAUGUAUUAAUGAUGCAAUCAAAUAAAUGAUUAUUUAAACAAAUCCAACAUUUUUUGUGUACACGAUUUCAGAUAUAUGCAUCCUUUAUUUUCUUAAAACUAAUCUUCUAAUAGAAAAUUUCUUAAGAAAAAAGAGAAAUUACUAUUAGAAUUUUUGAGUUUGAUAGAUAUCUUUCUUUCUGUUUUAAUACAAUAUUUUACGACUGAUCCUACAUUAGGAGGAGAGGGGGGGAUAGAGAUGGAUCCAACUAAGAUAUUGUAAAUUCGAAAGGAUUUUUUUUUUAAUACAACAUUUUUACAAUUGAUCCUACAUUAGAGGAAGAAGAGAGGGGAAAAGAAAUAGACCCAACUAAACCAUUGAAAUUUCAAAAAGAACAUUUUUUUUAUUGCAAUAUUUUUACAAUUGAUCGUAUAUUAAGGGAAGAGGGGAGAGGAAUGAAGAUGGAUUCAGUCAAACUAUUGAGAAUUUGAAAAUUCCUGAAUGGAAAAUGUAGGCAAUGAAUUUUGAAUUCGUUACCUAUACCAAGGAAGAACUUUUUAUCUCUCCCUAGUGGCCAACAGAACUAAUUCAGUUCAGUUCGAUAGUUUGAUAGAUAUCACUUCUUAGUUUUUUUUUUUUAAUGUAUUCUUUAAAUUCUUUAAGACUUUUUUCUUCUUUACACUUUUGAAAUAUACUUUUGCAAGUUUAUAAGAAUUCAUAUUCCCAAUUCUGCCAAUUGACUCCUUGCUAAUUCCAUUGACUUAUUAAGUACAUGAAACCAUUGAACUUCAUCGGCGAUCAACGGAAAAGUCAAACGCAAUUUGGAGUAAUUGUGUGUACUAGUAAAAUUACAGGACACAAAAAGCACUGAUAUCAUUCGGGGUUCGGUUCCGUGAUUGUAGCCCAGUUGGGUGAGAGCCACGUCCAGGGAUCGAAUCCCCGGAUAACAUUUGGUCGGUGAUGUUGGGCAGCCUCUCCUGGCCACGCACAAUAAGGAUUAGUUGGGAUGUACUGGAUUACCAGUUCAUGACCCCAAAUACCCUCUGUGAUGACAAAAAAAAAAAAAGCACUAAUAUCAUUACUCUCCACUAAAUACAUUAGGAUCACUCAUUCAAAAAAAAAAAAAAAUUGAAAGAACACUAGGAUCACCUAGGACACCAUGUAUUUCAAGAAAUCUCCUUUUAUGUGUCCCUCAAAAUUGAAAGUAGAGCCUCAUGGAGAGUAACUUGUAUGCAUUUGGGAAAGAAUAAUUACGUAGCAACAAAACUGUAAUAAUGUAGAACAACUCACUCUAUAGUGUGUGUGUGUAGAGAUCUCAUGUUUAUCAGUCUUGUUUUAGCUGUAUAUUUUAGAGAUAUGUGGUGGAUAUUAGUCUCAAACUCUAGCUGGAAACGUUGUUGGCUGGUUUUGCUUUAAUGUAAUAUGAUGCUUUGCUUGUCAUAUUCUGGUUGAUAAAAGGCAAAUGCGUGAUAGCCAGACAAGCCAUGCGUGCCUUUCUCUCUCUGUUUUUUUUUUUGUAGUGCUUAAUUCCUGGGUAAGCAGUUGCUGGUAUCGAAUUGCGUAGACACCAUUUUAAGAUGAGUCGAAAGUCGAAACAGGUUGAUGCAGCUAAGCGGAGCCCAGUUGUUAAAUGCAAGUCAUUGAUGAGGUUAAAGUCCAUUAAUUCUCCGUGGACAAACUGGUGCAAUAUGCCCAAAACAAGCACCACUUUCACUGGCCCAAUUUGAUUGCAUUAUUAGCUGCAGCAUGCAUGCAGUGCCCAGCUGUAGUUGUCUGUCUCACUUAAUAUAUUUCAAAUGGGGUGUUGUCGACUCGAGUCGCACCGAGCUCGACUUGAUUCUCCCGUGAAGACACCCAAAUUCGAGUCCAUGUCCGUUCAAGAUAUACAGUUUAUGCUCGAGCUCGAUUCGAUAGGGCUCGAAUAGGUUGACUCGAAAGUUCGAUCUCUUACUUAGAAUUCACAGGCCCAAAAUUUUCAAAAUUCACAGCCAUGAUUUCACAACCGGCAGAUUCAUUGCAUUUCAAAUGAGAAGAGCCGCACAACAGACAGGAACCCUCUGAAUCUGAUGGGGCUAUCAAGAUCUUUGGUCAAAGAUUACUACUACUACUACUAGUACUAAAUUUUCUCUUGGCGCUGAUCCUGCAAGUCCGGAAACCUGUCUUUGAAAAUGCGCCACGUGUCAAGGUGAGAUGGACAGCCAGCUGGCAAAGUUAAAUCAAAACACGCAUCCCAAGGGGUGGUUUCAAAAAACUUUCCAAGCUGUCGUCCGUACGCUCACAGGCCGAGGGUUGACCCAACAAACAAACGCCGAGUCCACUUAAAUCAAAUGCCAAACGUGUCAUAUUGCCCAGCCCAAACGUGCAGCGCACGUGGUCAUUCACCGCGUGCUCCCCACAGCUGGCGCUUUGGUCCGGACUUCUAAGUUCUAAGUCGGCUGGCUAAACCUUAUCCUCCUCCUUUUUGGAGCUGUGAUAUAUCCACCCGGAUUUCAUCCAACCAGCUCUUAAUCUAAACUUAAUAAUAUCUUUUUGCAUAUAAUAGGGACGUCCUUUUUUUUUUGGCUUUUGGAGCAGCCAUCCAUCAUUUUCAAGAUUGAUGGCUGAGUAAUUGAAUACUCUAAUCUCUUCUACCCUACACAACAAGAAAAUCUCCUAGCUGAUUAAUAUAUUGUAUGAUGAGACGAACGAGGGGAUAAUAAAUGAUAUUAAAGUUGAAAAAAUAAUUUAUUAAGUAACUUUAUAACGAUUCUUUAAUUUUUGACACGUAAACAUGUCGUAUUACAAUAGAGUGAAGUUUAACUCUUAAAAUUAAUGAUACAUAUAAUAAUUAUGGAAAAUAUUGAAUGAACUAUUUAAUAGUAAUGCAAGUAUUAGAUUUUCAUCAUAAAAUAAAAUCCGUUAUGACUGCAAACAAAAUAGUAAUGGGAAUGACAAAAAUUCAUGCCCAUGGUAAGUUUUAGAGUGUAUUUGGACCAUUUGAAAAAAAAAAAUAAUUUAUCUGUAUUAUAAAUGCAUUUUUCGUUCACUUUUUUUAAUCAUCUUUAUCAAAAUAUUUCAAUUAUGAACUUUAUUCCAGAGUGCACAUUUACAGUAAAACAGCAUUCACAACGUGAAAAUCAGUAUUCAGAAUGCACAUUUAUUGGCUUGUGACAUUAGUUGAGUGCUGUCGUGUGAUACCAGAGAUUCUUUUAUUUCUUUGCACGUUUUGUUCCAAAAAAGAAAAAAAAUUCAAUAUGAAAUAAAUUAUUUUACUCUGAAAUAUUCUUCAUUUUCCAGGGCCACUUUGCACUCUUUCUGGAGAUCACUUAUAUUAUAUAUAUAUAUAUACACAUUUCAUGCAAAGUCCAUAAUUAUUUUCUAUAGUUCUUUGAAAUAGACCCAAAUUUGACCCCAAUACACCUCCAAAGAUCAAAGCUUUCUCCCCGAAAAGAUUCAAAAGAUUCACCUGAUUUAAUAACAGAGGUCAGUUUCGCUUCUCAAUUUCAGGAUGUCUUUCAUCCUUUUUCAAUUUGAGUUUUGCAAAUUUAGGGCUUUUGAUAAUUGGUUUUUCUCUUGUUCACGUUUUUCUCAGUUGGGCUUUGCUUAGAUCACUAAUUUAUUCAAUUACAGUAAACGGGUUUCUCUUUAAUUGGCUUGAUGUCUUGCUUUCUUCAUUUUCUACUGCAUUUGUUGAAUUUUUAGUUGUAAUUUAGUGUAGAUUGUUUCUGAAUUGAUUCUUUUAUGUGAAAAAGGUGUUCUUGGGCUCGUGCAGAUAAUUGAAAACUAUCAAUUUGAGGGGAAAAGAAGAAUUUUGAGUUGUGGGGUUUAGGUUGGCGACUUUUGUUCUGAAUUUUUUGGGGAGAUAAUACAGAACCUUGGAAAAAUGUUGUCAAGAUCGUAUACUAAUCUCUUAGAUUUGGCAUCCGGGAAUAUUCCGGUAAUGGGUAGAGAGAAGGAAAGGAGAAGGUUUCCUAGGGUCAUGACCGUGCCCGGAAGUAUAUGUGAGCUAGAUGAUGACCAGGCGCAUAGUGUUGCGUCGGAUAAUCCGUCUUCAAUAGCUGGUGAUAGGAUGAUAGUUGUGUCAAAUCAGUUGCCAUUGAAAGCUAAGCGAAGACCUGAUAAUAAAGGAUGGAGCUUUACUUGGAAUGAGGAUUCAUUGCUUCUGAGGCUUAAAGAUGGUUUGCCAGAAGAUAUGGAAGUGCAAUACGUUGGGUCACUGUGCGUUGAUGUUGAUCCAAUUGAACAAGAUGAUGUUGCCAAUUAUCUUUUGGAAAAAUUUAAAUGCGUGCCGACUUUUCUUCCGCCGAAUAUUGUGGAGAAGUAUUACAACGGUUUCUGCAAGAAGCAGUUGUGGCCGCUCUUUCACUACAUGCUGCCAUUUUCUGCUGAUAAUGGAGGGCGGUUUGAUCGUUCCAUGUGGGAAGCAUACGUGUCGGCCAACAAGAUAUUUUCGCAGAGAGUGAUUGAGGUGCUAAAUCCUGAGGAUGACUUUGUUUGGAUUCAUGAUUAUCAUUUAAUGGUGUUGCCCACUUUCUUGAGGAGGCGCUUUACUCGAUUGAGGAUGGGGUUCUUCCUCCACAGUCCAUUUCCUUCAUCAGAGAUAUACAGGACACUUCCUGUUAGAGAAGAGAUUCUUAAGGCUUUACUUAAUUGCGAUCUUAUUGGUUUUCAUACUUUUGACUAUGCCCGGCACUUCCUCUCUUGUUGUAGUCGCAUGAUGGGCUUGGAGUAUUUAUCAAAAAGGGGUUAUAUAGGGUUGGAUUACUUUGGUAGGACCGUUGGUAUUAAAAUCAUGCCCGUUGGAAUACAUAUGGGCCAUGUUGAAUCAGUGAUGAAACUUGCUGAUAAGGAGAUGAGGUAUGAAGAGCUGAAGAAGCAAUUUGAAGGGAAAACCGUGUUGCUUGGGGUCGAUGAUAUGGAUAUCUUCAAAGGCAUCAAUUUGAAAAUCCUAGCUAUGGAGAAUAUGCUCAAGCAACAUUCGAAAUGGCAAGGAAGGGCAGUGCUGCUUCAGAUUUUAAAUCCUGUUAGAGGAAGAGGGUUGGACUUGGAGCAAAUACAGGCUGAAAUACAGGAAAGCUGCAACAGGAUCAAUGAGAAAUUUGGAAAGCCUGGAUAUCAACCUGUUGUUCUAAUUGACAGGCCUGUGCCCAUCUCAGAGAGAAUGGCUUAUUACAGGAUUGCUGAGUGUGUUGUGGUAACUGCAGUAAGGGAUGGGAUGAACCUGACCCCAUAUGAAUACAUUGUUUGUAGACAGGGAAUACCUGGUGCAGAAGCAGGCUCAGAUUUGAGUGGAACCAAAAAGAGCAUGCUGGUUGUUUCAGAAUUCAUUGGGUGUUCUCCUUCCCUUAGCGGGGCAAUACGAGUCAACCCAUGGAAUGUUGAAGCAACUUCUGAGGCACUGAAUGAGGCUAUAUCAAUGUCUGACCAAGAGAAAGAACUGCGACAUGAGAAGCAUUAUCGUUAUGUAAGUACGCAUGAUGUGGCAUAUUGGGCAAGAAGCUUCCUGCAAGACUUGGAGAGGACAUGUGCUGAUCAUUUUAGGAAGAGAUCUUAUGGCAUAGGUUUGGGAUUCGGGUUCAGAGUUGUAGCUCUGGAUCCUAACUUUAGAAAGCUUUCAAUUGAUGAUAUUGUGUCAGCUUACACUAAGGCUCAGCAUAGGGCCAUAUUGUUGGACUAUGACGGGACUGUAAUGCCUCAAAAUUCCAUCAUCAAAACUCCAAACCCUGAAGUGCUCUCUAUCUUGAACACACUCUGUGGGGAUCCAAAUAAUGUGGUCUUCAUAGUCAGCGGAAGGGGGAGGGACAGCUUAAGCAGAUGGUUUGAGCCUUGCAAACAGCUGGGACUUGCAGCUGAACAUGGCUACUUCUUAAGGUUUGGUUUCCUAGAACGUGUUUUUCUGGUUUCAAAUUUUCAUUGACAUCUUUUAUGGCUUCAGAUGUUCCAGUGGUGCUGUCUUGUGUCCGGUUUGAUGCCUUGAAAUGGUUUUACACUGAAACUUCACAUAGUUAUCGUCUAUUUUUGCUAAUAAUAUAUAUAGAAGUAUUCUUCUGAUUGACGAUUUGUUGUUCUUUAUACUUGUCCUGGUAAGUAGGUUUACUGUUCACUCUCUUUGGGAAUCCAAUUGGAAGGCACUUAUGAAGUUAAUGAAGAAAUGUGGUCAAAAUUGAUUCUGAGGGGCUUCUGGUUUUAAGCUUUGUGUCUUUAGGGUUUAAUGGGGUUAGGUAAAUAGUUAGCCUACACAUUAAUUCGCAACCUGUACAGCUUCUCUAAUGAUGGGGUCAGUGGUUAACUAAAUACCCAGUAACUACUCAAGUAGUUUAUAGAGGACCUUCAUUUUGCUGGAGUAGUGAAUGUUUUAGCUUCAUUUCUUUUUCUCUCUUGACCAGAUAUUUUGUAAACGUUAAUGCUUAAGUUGGAAUGCAGUUAAGGAUACUUGGUGGUUUCUAGGAGCCCAUUAUCUAGAUAUGGGUGCUAAUGGAGCACUCCGGGUAAGGGUUUCUUGUGGAAAGAAAUUAAUUGGGAUUGGACAAUUUGGUACUGGAAAUGCUAUACACAGAACCAAUAAACAACACAAAAAAAAAAAAAAACAAAAAAGAACCAAUAAAAAAACCACGUUUCCUUUGUUGUUGUUUUGCUCUAUUACUAAUUCUGCAAAUUGGCAGGUGGUCACAACAUAAAGACUGGGAGACCUGUGGUCAGAAUUCUGAAUUUGGAUGGAUGCAAAUUGCUGAACCUGUAAUGAAAUCGUAUACUGAGGCAACAGAUGGUUCUUGCAUUGAGAAGAAAGAAAGUGCUUUGGUCUGGCAGUAUGGGGAUGCAGACCCAGACUUUGGGUAUUCUCAGGCAAAGGAGAUGUUGGAUCAUCUUGAGAGCGUUUUAGCAAAUGAGCCUGUUUCUGUAAAGAGUGGCCAGCAUAUCGUAGAAGUCAAGCCACAGGCAUGUAGUUUGCUUCUUGAUUUGCAUGUUAACUAUUUUAUUCUACUUUUAGUUCUUAUGUUUUGUCUACCUGUUUGAUUGUCUUCUGCAAGCAGACUGGCCUGAUUUUUAUUGUAGCUCAGCAGAAUUAUGAAUGAUAAUAAAUGAUGUUGAAGUCCUCAUGAAUUUAUAAAUGACAGUGAAGUCCCCAGCACUUAUAGUGUUGGCAUUAUAAGAGUUACUAAUAAUUUUAUAACUUUGCUUAUGCAGUCCCAUUCUUCAUGUACUAUAUGAAUCUAUAAAUGAAAAUGAAAUCCGCAGCCCUAUACACUCAUCAAGAUCUGUUUAACCAUUUGUAGUCACCCUUAGUGGGUUGUCUUUGUAUUGUGAGGUCAUUUAUUUUCUUGUUGUGUUGUUUCCCAGUAUGAUUACUUGGUUGCUGCACUUUCAUUUGGUUCUCUUUCCUUGUAACCUUCUUGGAAUGUUAAUCUCGUUGAGCAUAGAGUGCGGAAGGAAUUGGUGGAUACUAGCUUCAUAAUUUACCUGAUAGGUUGGGAAUCAUGUAGAUGCGGAGUAUGAUUUUCCUUUGAGUGCAGCUACAUCAUUUAGCAAUCUGGAGUUGAUUAUGUUUACUCGAUCAUUUUGCAAUGGAUUGUUUAUAUUAUUUUAUUGUAUUAAAUAGGGUUCCUUUUGCUUUCAUUUCUUCUGUGUCCAUUGCUUUUCAUUAACAUAUGCAUUGUGAUUCUAAUCUGAUAAUGGUUGGGAUAUGUUACACCUAAUUAGACUACUGGUUAUCUAAAACAACUGAUUGAUUUUGCCUCAUAGUUUGAGAAGUAAAUGUCUAAUAAACAAUUCAGCCAACUUGGUUACUGUGGGUCUCCAGCAGUAUAGUGCAACACUUACACAUUUGGCUUUGAAUUUUGAACAUCAUAAUUGGGAGUGUCUAAUCCUUGUGUUCUUUCAGGGGGUCAGCAAAGGCUCAGUUGCAGAAAGAAUAUUUACAUCCAUGGUGGAGAAAGGGAAACAGGCUGAUUUUGUGCUUUGCAUUGGUGAUGACAGAUCUGAUGAGGAUAUGUUUGAAAUUAUAGGCGCUGCAAUAUCAAGAAAUAUUCUUUCUUACAAAGCUGAAGUAUUUGCCUGCACAGUUGGACAAAAACCGAGUAAAGCGAAAUACUACUUGGAUGACCCAUCUGAGGUGAUAAACAUGCUUGACUCUCUUGCUGAUGCCACUCAUACUCCAGUUACCUCUGAAGAUGAAACAGAAGAUUCUUCCUGAAACAAAUCAUCAGGUUUCUUAUUGAUUUCUUCUACACAUGGAGUUCCUGAUUUGGUGGUGCAUGUAUGCUUAGAAGGGCAUUAGGUUUUAGAUUUAGGAAAUCAAGUCUAGUAGUCUUCCCUUUCUGCUUUGCGUUUAUUUACCUCUUGUCUCUAUUUCUUCAGUGCCUUCCAAGAUAGAUACCAAUCCAGUGAGGAGAAGGCAAAGUUUUGUUUGGUGCAGAAUUCUUUUUGGGGUGAAUCUAUUAGAAGUAGUUGGGAUCUUGGGAUGAAUUUAAUGACAGGAAGGUGUGAUUUUGUGAGGUUAGAUUUUAGUGCGAAACUGUGGACAGGAUUUUAAGCGUGUUCUUGGUGGUAAAUGACAAUAAUUGUGCAUUACUGAAUCUGGUAAUCAGAGAGAUUGAGGCUGUCGUAACUAACAUGGAUGAAGUUUGGCGCUAUUCCUCUUAAUUAAUGGAAGCAACAUAAUUUUGAAUUUCUGAAUAUUCCUUGGCAUCUUGUUGAGAAUAUAACAUGUUGUCUGCUUGAACUUCACAUGCCGUAGAUGAAAAGGAUCCUUUGGCACUUGUGAUACCAUUUGGGAGUUGAGGCUUGUUGCCCUCGUUGUAGACCUGAGAUUGUUUAUGGCCUCCAAAGGAGCAAAUUACCUAUGCAUGAAGGGUGACCUACUGAAUGAAGUCUGUCAAGGUCUGAAGCCAGAAAAUCAGUAUUAAAAUGUUAGAUCAAGGGAAUUUGUAUUUCUGCAUUUGUCCUGCUUGACUGGAGAAGAAGGCCGCAAUGUUCUUUUGGAUGGCAAUAUUUGUACUAAUGAAAGCAAUGUGGAUGCAAGAAUUAGAAUAAUCAUGACAAUAAUUCUGUUUGGCAGACAUAGUUCACCCUGGAUCUUAACUGUAGCAUUGGCUUGUCACCCUUUUGAAUUCUUUUCGAAAUAAACAUUGGUAUAUUGUUUAUACAUGUACAUAUUCUGGCAUGCUGUUGUCCUCUUGAAGUUGAACAUCCCAGUUCCAUAAAUCGGAUUGUUUGUUUUGUCAUAUCUAGUUAUUUAUGUUGGUCUUUCAGUUCCAUUGUUGUAUGAUCAAAAGGUUGUUUACUUAAAUUCUUUUUAGUGUACCGGAUUACAGGAGGAGUUUUGUACUUCGCUUAACAUAAAUGCUGUUUGCCCAGGGGAAAAAUGUUUGAUAUGCCGUGUAUUUUGCUGAACAUCGAAUACUGUACCACGCCUUUUCAUCUUUCUGUGCACCAGCAUUUUGCCUGUCAGAAGAUUCACACCACCUACUUUGGGACCCAAAGAAGGAAGAUAAUACACCUUGGCGGCCAACAUUUUGUCAUUGUUCAAGACUAGAGAUCUUCUUGUUUUUAAUCUGGUGAAAUGAGGACACUGUUGUGUUCGCUCUCCGACUUUGAAGUUUAAACAAUUUGCUGUCAAAGAGUUUAUCCUCGGAGUUUAAUACUAUCACUGAGAUAACAUUCUGCAUCUCGAUUAUGCAUGUGUGUGAUACGCAGUGAUUGUAAAGUCAGUCAUUACCCAAAAACAUCAUCAAUGUUCACAACAUGAUCUGCCAACGCAUGUAUGAAGUUGAAGCUGAUGUUUUAACUCCACUUCCAUUGCUCCUUCCAAGACAUUCACUACUGUGGACAUGCAAGGCCUUCUUGUAUGAUCAUCUUGCAGGCACCGAGCUGCGAUUCUUAUCAUCCUCUCCACUUCCUCUGCAUUAUUCUUCAUGUCCUGGUCAAAAUUUCUCACAAUGUCAAGUAACUUGUUUUCUUUAGACUUCCACUGCAAGAGAUUCAACGGAUGCGAGCAAGAUUCUGAGUGAUUAUCAACAUUUCUCCUUCCACUAAUUAUUUCAAGGAGGCCAAUCCCAAAACUGUAGAUAUCAACUUUUUCUGUCGUGAAUCGCCGUUCUGGAGCAAUGUAUCCUGGAUUUCCUUUGAUGGUUGUGACAACUUGGCUCUUGUCUCUGUCUAUGAGCUUAGACAGCCCGAAAUCAGAGACUUUGCCGUUGAAGUUUUCAUCCAGCAGGAGCUUUUGUGGUUUUACAUCAAGGUGGACGACUUUCUGGGAACAUUCUUCAUGUAAAUAAGCUAAUCCUUUUGCUACAUCAAUUGCUAUCCUCUUGCGGAUCUGCCAAUUCAGCUAACGCUCUGGAUCUCUGCUGAAAAUCCAUUUGUCCAGUGAUCCAUUAGGCACAUAUCCAUAUACCCGAAGCUGGUGAGAUUUGUCCUUGCAAUAUCCUAUCAAUUUCACGAGAUUGAAAUGAUGGAUGCUUCCAAUUGUUUUGACUUCAGCCAAGAAUCCCUUCAUAUCCAGACUUGGUUUCUCCAAAUGCUUAACAGCAACGGAGGUUCCAUCCUGUAACCUUCCCUUAAACACACUCCCAAAUCCUCCACCACCUAGCUUCUCCUCAAAAUUGCUUGGUGCCACACGGAGUUCCUCGUACGAAAACCUCAUAGGCAACCCUGGCAUUUGUAUGCUACUAUCUUUCUCUCCUUCUGGCUGUCUUGGAGGUUUUAUACUGUCUUCUACUUUUUCUUCCUUUCUUGAGAUCAACAUGUAGAUUGUGCCAAGCAAACAAUGAAAGUACAUGCACUUACAACUAUAACAGGAAUUCCCCUAAAGAUCACUGCAACAACAAAGGUGCCAACAAGAAAUGAAGAACACCAAUAUCAACGGGAGGCAAUACAAGUAACCUUUUUGCUGAAAGUGCUGAGGGCAGAAUUGAUGCUGGCAUGUUAUAACUUGUGGCACAGGGAGAGGAAGCAGGACUGGAAUUUUUACUAUUUUGCCUGACAAAAAUCUGAGAAUUUGUCUUCCCUUGAAAGAGGGAAUUAUACGUUCUUGCUAAGAAUGCAUAGCUGAAUAGUGAUUGUUUAUCAUACUAUAAAGCUUCCAACUAUCUGCCAUUUGGACUCAAAGUGAAUCGAGGUCAUCCUUGACUCUUUGUGUCUCUCUUACGUAUGCCCUUGUGUUGAUGACCAAGCAACUCUUCAAACAUCGACUAGUAAGUAAAGAUUUCUUCUUCCUUGUGGACCAGAUUGCAUGUCUUAACUGUAACCAAAAGUUUACAUCUUGAAGGACAAAUAAUUUGCAAUUUUCCAGUCAAUGCCGGUUCACACUAGAAAUUGGAAAUUUUCAGAAAUUUCGUUGUCAGUGGCAAGAGGCAACCAAUAGAUUACCUAGAGAGAGAGUAAACAUGAACUUGGAGAAGUCAUGCCUUUCGUUGUUAGUGAAACCAUGAAAUAGCAAAGUGCUCAGGAUAUUCAUCCGUCUUCUUUAGCCUUUCGUCGGAUUCGUUCAGGGAGGGAAGACCUUUUUUUUUUUUUUCAUUUUUUUGUGGGUUUAAGAAAAAGCUGUUCAUUCAGGGGACCCAUUUGACAUGAGGGGAGAUUGAUGAGAGGCUUUGUCACUCAUAUCUCAAUCAUUUACCUGCACAAGGAAAAAUAUGAACUGAAGUCUUCCACAUUGAUCAAAGUUGAUUCACAGAAUUUUCCACAAAAAUGAAUGAAUUAAGAUUGUUGACUUUUUUAUUGUAGGAAUAUUGCUACAUUCAGAGAAGAAAAAAGGCUUCAUGGUAACUAAAACCCACAAAACUUUCGAUUUUUCUAAUGUAAGUUGUAAUAAUAUGGUUACUGUCCGAGAAGAAAAAUGAUGAUGAUGGAAGUAACCGCUAACUAGUAAGAAUGAAAAAAGGUUACACCUGUUCCCCUCACCAAUAAUCUCCACAAGAACAAUAUCCAUUUUUGAAAUGAUGAAACCUACUAUUAUCUCGCACAAUAAUUUCCCGGUUUUUGACCUUCGAUAUGUACUUGAUAGCAACAUGACAAUCGCUGCAUACACGCAAAUUCUUCAUCACUCUGAUCGGAAAACCCUUUGGAGUGUUCAUCAGAGCAAAAGCAAUUGCCAGCUUCUCACUGUGGUGCACUAGGUUGUACUCCUUUUCCUCCACAUCCAUGUCAUGCAACACUGAGCCAAUAUCAGGCACAUAACCUUCUAUUCUUAUUUCUUCCAUCAGUUCAUUCAAGUAAUUCUCAAUCUCCUGUGCCAGCGGAUGAGAUUUAUCACCCAUAAUGAACUGAUAAAUCUGGUUCUUUAUCUCCAACCAGCUUAUGCCUGGCUCCUUCUUCACAUUUUGAUCUCUCAUUGCUUUUCGCAACUCUGAAACAUCCUUCCAUCUUCUGGUAGAGGCCUGAAUAUUUGCAAGGAGAACAUAGGCGGAAGAAUCUCGAGGAUCAAUUUUCAAAACUUCUUCACCUAUCCUUUUAGCCAUAUCUGAAUCUUUAUGAAUCUUACAGGCUGAUAACAAAGUCUUCCAUAUAACAGCAUCUGCCUUGAUUGGCAUUGAUCUAAUAUAGCCUUCUGCCUCGUCUAAACAGCCUGAUCUACCAAGUAGAUCCACAACACAUGUAUAAUGCUCUAAUUGAGGCUCCAGUCCAUACUUUUCCACCAUCACCUUGAAUAACUCAAGUCCCUUUUCUUUCAUUCCGCAAUGACUACAAGCAUAUAGUAAACUCAAGAAAGUGACAUCAUUCGGCUCCAAACCUUCGUGCUCCAUCCUAUCAAACAAUUCCACAGCUUCCUUUCCUCUUCCGUGAAAUCCAUAAGCAGCAAUUAUAGAACUCCACAAAACAAGAUCAGCUCCCUCUCUUUCCUCAAAAACCUUCACAGCAUCAUCCAAACAACCACUUCGUGAGUACAUGCUAACUAAUGAACUAAUAACAGGAACGACAGAAAGGGCGCCAACCUUGAUGACAUCAGCAUGAAUCUGCUGGCCCUGCCCAAGUGUGGCCAGCUCAGAACAUGAACUGAUCACGCUCACAAAUGUGAUCUUAUCCGGCCUAAACCCAGACAUUCUCAUUAUGUUGUAAAUAUCCAAGGCACCCUCUGAACACCCAUUUUGGGACCUCCCUGCAAUAAGUGUAUUGAGAACAGCCACACUAUGCAUCGGCAUCAAUCUAAUAACUUUCUCCCCUUCCUUUAAGCUCCCUGAUCUCAUAUACAUAUGACCUAACGAACUUCCAACAAUCAAAUUCAUCUCGAAACCUGACUUAACCACAUAUCCAUGAACUUGCUUUCCCUUAUUCAAGUCCUUCAACCCAGCACACCCUCUCAAAACACUCCCAAGAGUGAAUACAUCAGGUAAAAAUCCCAACUUGUGCAUUCUGGAAAACAAACUCAACCCAUCUUCGUUAAACUCGAACUGGACCGUACCAACGAUCAUCGCAUUCCAAGUGGCUAAAUUCCUAUCACCCAUUUCAUCAAACAGCUUAAACGCACUAUCCAAAUCACCAUGCUGAAUGAACCCUCCAAUUAAAAUGUUAAACGACAUAGUAUUUCUGUUGGGCAUUUUUUCGAACAGUGAGACUGCGGCGUCCAAACGGCCUAAUUUGGAGUACGCAUUGAGGAGAUGGUUGACUACAAACUUUUCCUUGAAGCAGCCAGCUGUCAAGAUGAGAGAAUGGAGUUGCUUGGCAAGGGAGAAAGAUUGGGUUUGGAUGCAUGCUUUUAGGAGGUCAGAAAAGAGAGGUGGAUAUGACCAUAUCAAAGAAGUGAAGUUGGUGAAGGCUUCGUCAAUAUGGCCUCUUGAGCAGAGGUUUUUGAACUCUGCUGUUAAUGAUUUUGUGCUGAAAGAAUGGGAGGUAAAAUUAUGGAGGGGAAGGCGAAUUGUUGAAGUCAAAAGGCCCAUGCAUUUGUGUUGGUUCAUAGGAUUGUCCAACACCCAAGCAGACUGGCUGCAUGAGGCAGCGUCACUGGAUGCAAGUUUUUCUCCCUUGUUAGUACAAGCAACUGGUUCCCAAAGCAAAUGAGCAAAUUACUUUUGGAUCCAAUACCUAAUUGUUUGUGGCAGGUUACUUUCGUGUACAUGCAAGACAACUCCUAAACAUUAUUAAACUAUUGGAUCAAAUUAUGUUUAUACUUUACUGUUAAUGCAGAGUAAUCUUUUAAACGUUACUUUUAAAAAAUUUGCGUUAAUUUUAACAUCGAGGUAUCAAUUAAGAAAGUGCCAGCAAAUUUACAUCCAACACUUUUGAGUCUAGAAUAAUUUUAACAAGAUACAAUUGGAUUGAAGCUUUAACAUAAUUCAACUAGAAUGAAGUUUUCAACUUAUGUAACUUGUAGUUAUAGACUCUGAGAUUUUCAAGAACCACAUGCCUGAUGAUGAGUUAAUAUUUGGACAUUAAAUGCAUCAUUUUCAGAGAAGCAGGUCAAAGAACAUGCAUGCUUUCACUUUCCUUUUAGAAGAGGUAUUGACCAUAAUUCAUGCUUCACAAGGGUAUGAUAUAUAUGUUGCUUAACCAUUUGCCAUCAGCACAUUGAUGUUAGGCCAAUACCCACAAGGAGAAGAUGAAACUACUAUCUUGAUGGUGACAUACAAUGGAAGGUGAAUCUGAAUUCUGCACAUUCUACUUACAAUUAAUAGCAAAUUACACGUACAUUAUGCAAAAUUUGGGAAUAUUGUACACUCAAUGAACUGAAGAUGUAUAAUCAAGCUUAACUACUAUGUACUACUUGGUGCAAUUAUACAGCUACUGGUGUUGGUACAGCAGGAGGAACCCUGUUCUCAGCUGGAAUUUCGACAAACUCAGAGAGGAUUGCUCGGAAUUCAUCUCCAGUCAACGUCUCUUUCUCAAGGAGGACUUCAACAAUUUUAUCAAUUGCUUCGCGGUUAUUCCUAAUGUGGAUUAAAGCAACCUCAUACGCAGUAUCUGAAAUUCUCUUGACAGCAGCAUCAAUGUCUUCAGCAAGCUUCUCGGACAUUGAAUUCCUAGCCAUCAUUCGCAUAAUGACGUCGCCACUUUGAGCUGAUGAGUCCAUCAAAGACCACGGGCCAAUAUCUGACAUGCCAAAGGUGACCACCAUCUGCAAAAAAGAUUGAACACCUAAUUUAUUUCCACAGAAGUAGAAAUGUUCAAUGUACAAAUAAUGUAUGUAAAACUACAAAGGAACGUGGCCAAUUGAUUGUUCUAAGAUCAUUCUGAAGUACUUAAAAGUAUUCUAGGAGAAAUCCUUCCAACAGGCGGUUUGAGCUGCCUAAUCCAGUUCUUUGGAAGUUUAGGUAGAGGACUUUGACCAUUCUCUGUGCUUUUCAAUCCCUCAAAACUAAAAGAUUAUAGAAAUUGGCUACAGAACUUGCAGCAUUGUGACUGAUUUGAAAGGAUUCAAAAUGAUUGUUGAAUUCCUCAAAGAAGUCUAGCCACCAUAGAAUGAUAAGUAAAGAAAAAUGUUUGAAAAGAGGAAAGACUGAUACACCUGUUUGGCCAAACCAGUAAUCUGAUACAAAUCACCAGCAGCACCUGUUGUCACCUCAGGCUCGCCAAAGAUCACUUCCUCAGCAGCUCUUCCACCAAGCCCCCCAACAAUUCUAGCAAAGAGUUGCUGCUUGGAGAUCAAGGUUGGGUCAUCUGCAGGAAUAAACCAGG